This 58706-nucleotide long non-coding RNA is filed under the name Sorghum bicolor (sorghum). RNAcentral's name for it is "long non-coding RNA (SBIC_LNC016295)". The record is from RNAcentral. Lineage: Eukaryota; Viridiplantae; Streptophyta; Magnoliopsida; Poales; Poaceae.
GACCCUUAGGAGCUUGUCAUGCGGUUAAAAUCAAGAUUCACUUGCACGUUCACUCAUACAUGCUCCUUCUACUCCCGUAGUACGCAUCCACAUACAUCCACUCAUUUCCAUAUCCAGAUUCACCCAAAAUUAUUCUACUCCUAUCUAGGAGAGAAUAGCUAAAAACAUUAUCCUAUCCCUGUUAUUACUCGUGAAAUAAAUGCUCGAGAUAUUUUGGUUACUACCACAUGCUACAUUAUUCCAGGAGGGUGAGUGCUCUGAAAAAAAGUGAAUACGAGGAAAUAAAAAGGGGCAAGUGCCCGAAACCUCGAAAGAAAAGAGAAAAAGUGAGACGAGAGGUAAAAAUGGACAAGUGUCCGACAGUAGAAUUAGGGGUACAAGAUACCCACCUGAGAGAAAAUAAAAAUAAAAUAUAGAGCGUCUCAUUCCCCUCAAAAGCUUCAAGUGCAAGAAAGGUAUGUACCCCUCAAAAGAGCAAAAGUAGAAUGUAUCUGAAGCUCAUAUCUGAAGCUCAUAGGUGGGUGAUAGCUAAACCAUGGAUCCAGAAAAACAAGUCAAUAAGUCAAAUCAAGUUGUACAUGUGUGGCGAAUGAAUGGUGAUAAUGGUGAAAAUAAUGGUGAAAGUCUAAUUCUACUUUUGCUCUUUUGUGGGGGUACAUACCUUUCUUGCACUUGAAGCUUUUGAGGGAAAUGAGACGCUGUAUAUUUCAUUUUUCUUUUCUCUCAGGUGGGUAUCUUGUACCCCUAAUUCUACUGUCAGACACUUGUCCAUUUUUACCUCUCGUCUCACUUUUCUCUUUUUUUGAGGUUUCGGGCACUUGCCCCUUUUUAUUUCCUCGUAUUCACUUUUUUUCAGAGCACUCACCCUCCUGGAAUAAUGUAGCAAGUGGUAGUAACCAAAAUAUCUCGAGCAUUUAUUUCACGAGGAACAACAGGGAUAUGAUAAUGUUUUUGGCUAUUCUCUCCUAGAUAGGAGUAGAAUAAUUUUGGGUGAAUCUGGAUAUGGAAAUGAGUGGAUGUAUGUGGAUGCGUACUACAGGAGUAGAAGCAGCAUGUAUGAGUGAACGUGCAAGUGAAUCUUGAUUUUAACCGCAUGACAAGCUCCUAAGGGUCUACACAGCUUGACCACACUCAAUGCUCAUAAGCAGUAAAAAGUAAAUGUAUGGUUCAUAGUCUAAUAAGCUUGUAUAUAUGGAUGUGGUAGGAUUUUAAAUUCUCAUCAUACAGGAACUCAUCAUGCAACAUUUUAAUGAUUUUCAAAGAUAAAAUUCUCUAGAAUUCUAGCAUCUCUAGGAACAGAUAAACAACAGCUCAACCUUCCCAUAUCAUAUCUGUUAACGACUUAGACUUUUGAUCAGGUACUCUUCCCACAAAUUCAGGUUUAGAGCAAGCUUUCAAUUAUAACAGUUAUGCCUAAACUUGAGAGAGAGCUCAAAUUUGAAAACUAGGUACUUGGCAGAGCAAAUAUUCAUCAUAUCCAUGUAAGAGUUUAUCAUUGAAGUUCAGUUUGGCAUAGACACUUUAUUUAUUUAUUUAGCAAACUAAGCAAAGAUAUAUAUAAGCACAAAAUGUUUAAUUGGGUUUUGAUGAUUAUGCAUUUUUUUAUUAUUUGAGUAAAGUAUAAAUGUGAGUAGAAACACUUAGCUAGAUAAAUGGGGGUGCUCUCCCCCAAGCUGGAUUUUAACGUAAUUUCUUCUGAUGUAGCUAGCAGGUGGCGUAGGUGUAUUUGAAUGUUGGCAGCACCCUGAUAGCGAUUAGGAUAUCCUCCGUCUCCUAGUCUUCCUUGAUCCUUGAAUUUUGUGGAGCUCAAAUGGACAACAAAGCUUUGUGGAACUGGUUAAGUGUUAGCAUAAAAUCUCUUAGCCUUUAUCAUGUCGAGCUUCCUCUAAUAAAUAUUACUCUCUUUAGUAGGAUCAUAAAUUUAUUUUUAUGUUUUCAUUUUUACAAGACAAGAAUAUAUUUAUUUUAUUUUUACGCCACCACAGUGAAUGGGUUUGAUGCCACGAGCAUACUCACAAGGGGCUUACUGUUUUUAACAUUUUUAUUUUCUUUUCAAGAUAUCAUCAUUAACUAACAAGCUAUUUAAGGAAAGUAAAUAAUUUAAGAAAAAAGGGAAUGCAGAAAGGAUAGUUAUGGUUAACUACUGAUUUUACCUUUCGGCGAGGGUUCACUGUUUAAGUCUUCUGAACAAGACUUCUCACCGUGUUCAUUCUUUAGGUGCGUCAUUUGAGUUGGGUGUGGACCUUGACAUCUGCACCUCUUGAUACGGUGUCACCCAUGUUUUUCGUUUGCCCAGCAGUUCGAAGUGCGGCGUUGGCAGCAUCCUCCUCAGUGUGUUUGUGCUCGUAGAUCGCUCUUAGAUCCAGGUCCUUCACUUGGUAGAGUCUAGGAGUUGGAAAACUCCUCCAUGUUUUGCUCGAAGUGUAUCCUGCUCAUAGAGACAAGGCAAAGAUCAAGUACAUGAGCCCUGUUGGUGGAAAACACCAACAGAACCAAAAGUGUACUUGUUCUUCUCUAACCUUAAGCAUAGUGAGCAAGACAAAGUUGUUGGAUGAUAAGAUCAUGAGUGUAGCAUUUAAAACAUUUGUCAGAUCAGAUCACUCAACCUUAUGGAAAGAUAAUCUAUCUAAGUAAAUGUUUUUUUUUCUUUACAUGACUAUCAUUUUCCAAAGAUCAGAUGUGCAACAUUUUAUCUCAUAUGGUUAAGCGUGUGGGAUCAAGAAGGUAGUACCAGAAACAAAGAUUAAAGGACUAAACAUGUUGAAUCAAUUGGGUUGGUUAAUUUGGGGUUAUAAAUCAUACAUGUUUGUCUUUUUAUCCAUGUGCAUGCCUGAAUCAAGGAGAAGCUUAUAACAAUGACAGUCACAUGCCUUAAGAUGUUACCUUAAUUGAAGAGUGAUGGUACAAUAUCACCUUGUGGAAGCUUUUCUUUCUCAAUGGUUGUGCAUCUUGUUCGUGGCACUAUUCGUCUCGUUCCAUGGAUUAUCUCUCGAGCUAUGUCUUUCUUGUGCAAAUUGUUAAACUUCAUGUGUCUCCUUCUUUAUCUCUAUUCUGAAUUUAUCUCAGGACUUCUCAAAUCAAUAUUGAAAAUUUUCCUGCAGGAGUUAGUCUAACAAAAUAUACCAGUGUCUACACAAGCAGUUUUUAGUUCAAUAACCAAACUAGACUCUAUGUCUAAUCGGAUUAAGGAAGGUUAUUUAACCUAAGCACCAUGCUUAAUUUAAAUGCCAAUGGAAGUAUGUCGAGUACUUUCAAACCAACAAUUACUUGUGAAUAGACAAAGGUAGCAUGACAAUAUUAUAGAGAUCUACUCAAGUGGGGAUGAAGUAGAAUGAUUAGUGUUUAACAAACUGAGCAUGUCUUAAGGGUAGGGACAACCAACAUAGCAACAUGACAAAGGAUGUUUUUGUGUAAGGUAUUCCCACCAGCUUUGGGACAGAACCGCCCAAUUUAUACAAGCUUAAGUACGACUGUCCCCGUUUAACACGUUGACACGCGCAUACUCUCACUUAUAUAAACCCGGUAAUCUGCCGAGUGUCACGAAGGACCUCGGUAAAUCAACUUUACACCAAGAUCGCAUGAUUAAGCAAAUACACAUCACAUACACAGAGAUUUGCAGCGGAAAUAAUAUUACAAAAGAGUUCACAAAUAAUAAUACAAGUUUGGAUUUCCAAAUUGGUUAGAAAACAACAUAGCUUUCAAAUUAUUACAAUAACAUAAGUUUCAAAUACAUUGCUAGCAUAAGUGACAUCCUCCGACAAAAGCAUGUAGAUGAGAACACUAUAUAGAAUCACCGAGCCCACCGGCUGUUAGCCACCAUCUUUAGCAGACUAAAAACUUCACCUGCAACAUGGUGGGAUAAACCCUGAGUACUCGAAUGUACUCAGCUAGACUUACCCGACAGGAGAGAAAAUAAAAGACUCUCAAGGAUAUCCAAGGCUUUUUGGUGGAGUUGGUUGGAUAGCAUAACUUUGCCAAAAAGAGCAUUACUAUCAUGAGUCCUUACUUUCAACCUUUUAGUCAAUAUUUUAGCAUCAAGUUCAAUUAAGCUACCAUAGCUAGAUUUUGCACCUAUUCUAUAGCAACCACUUGAUUAUUAAGCAUCACAUUAAUAACCAUAUCCAGUUUAUCAUGUGCCAUCAUGAUCAUCAUAACCAUCAAGUUUCAUUUAGUUUAUCUAUGUUGCCGCUGCCCGAGUAAAGUUCUCACUAUCCGGGAGAGACGGCGAUUCGAAUCGAUUCCUAUCCAGCUGGAGGGGUAUUCCUAGCACUCACCCAGGCAUACUUAGCUAGAGUAGCUUGGAUCACCUUUAGCACAACUCCGGACCAAUUCUCCGGUCCGAACGGCGCCGCACCCCCAGGGACCGCCAAUCAGCCAGGGUCAGGACUCUAACCUGACACCUCGGUCUUACGCCAUUGACUCCCCGCACAUCCUUACUACCAACCGGGAUGCGCACUUAAACCGAACGGGGUAUCCGGCCGGAGAUGCACUCAUAGGCUUCGCGGUCGGACCGACUUAUCCGGCCAACUAAGUGAUAGGCAUGCGUUCAACAUGACACGGGGACGUACAGUGAUUCGGUCCUUAAACGACACAGACGGGGAUAGAUUCACACCCAAGACCUCCAUGCCUUGUUGCUGCACUAUCGUCAUCCCGCCCGGUCUCAAGUUCAUUAUUAGCACAUGGUUAUUUCCACGAUAGCAAAUAUAGCCAACCGUGAUCAGGUAUCCACCUAUCUCUCGCAGGUGACAGGAAAUCACCUGGCUUCUACCGAGCUAAGCAUAGCUAAGCAUAGAAUGUCUUCCUUAUACUAGUAAGGGUUCAGGUAGUUUCAUAUAGUGGACAAGGUAGGAAUUAUGCACCAACGGUUUCAUUCAACUCCUAUCACCUAAUGCAUCAUAUAAUGUUAUACUCUUGUGCUUUUAUAAAAAUAGAGGGUAGGAGACUUAGAAUGCUCCGGGGCUUGCCUGGAAUCCGACACAAGUCAGUUAAGUUAGCUUGCGCCAUCUUGACGGCAUUCAAGUUCACAACACUUGUGUAGUCCUUCCAUCACCCCGAUAGGUCCACCAUCACGUCCUUCACGUGGUUCAUCUAGCGUACCUAAAUGAGAUGCAAGAUGCAAGUGCAUGAACAUAUAGAAGUGCAAUAGACAAAGCAUCACACACAAGAAGCAUGGCAAGAGCAUGGUUACACUAAACAUACUUAAGCACAUCUCACUGCUCACUUAAUGAUUACACAACCAACAUGCUAAGUCAACAAAGAAUGCAACACUAAACAUAUUAGACAUGGCAUACAUAUUUCACAAGGUCUCAGGUAUAUUAACUUGGCCAUUACCAAGGACAUGAGUCAUACAUAGCAAUAUACCAAGCAAGAACAAUAAAAGGAAUCUGUCAUUUUUAGGACUGUUAACAGCAGCUGAGAAAAUAAAUCAUAACUGGAGUUACACAACUCCAAAAGAUAUGCAAGAAGACAUUCUGGAAAGCUUAAGAAAUUAUCUACAUUUCGUCGUUAUACAUCAAAGCAUGAUUCAUAAGUUUGGUAGGUCGAAAUAUUGGAAUUACAGAAUCAGGUCCUAACAAGACAGAGAGCAACCAUUUCUGAAAUCCAACUUUGAACAGUCAUAACUUACAAACCAUAAGGCUAAAUACUACCAAAAUUUAACAGCAGCUAGAUAUAUUAAUUAUCUACAACUUUUCUAUAAACAAGAUUCUCUUAAAACAUAAUUUACACAUUGUAAUCCCAACAGUUCUAGAAACUGUCCAGAAACCAGAAUUGCAACAAUUAAUUAUUAACUUAUGUUUCAAACAUGCAUUUGAGCAAAACCUUUGUCACCAAUAGUUUUCAUAUUUCUAAAGAACACCAGAAAACAUAGUGGUCAUUACCAAAUAAAUUUAUUUAAUGCCUUUCUUAAUUUAUUUGGAUAAUAAGGUGAAUUAAAGAACAUAUAUCAAACAUGCACAGUAUAUUCUACAAAUAUUACAGUAGAUUCUACAUACUAUCCAUAGUCUACUGUAUAAAUUUCACUGCAUUUGAAUAAGCAUAGCAACAUCUAUUAAAAAGACAAAUUGCUAUUGCAAUUAACCAUGUGAGAGCAAGAUAAAUGCACAAAUCAUAUUUUCUUCAAACACAUGGCCAUAACAUGCAUAAACAUGAGACAAAAAUAUCAUAGGAUUGUAUUGGAACAACAUUUUCCAUUUUUACAUUUUUAUUUAUACUUAUAAACCAUUUAUCAAAAUCCAUAAAGAUAUCUCUGUCCAAAACAUGGACAGAAUCUAUCAUCUCAUAUUUAACAGCCAUAACUUGAGUUUCACAUGUCCAUAAAUUAUGGUUAUGUACUUUCUAGAAAGCUUACUAAAUUUUGAACAACUUUGUUAUAAACAUCUAGAGCUAAAUCUACCACUAACAAGGACUUACGUAACAAACAAUGUAUUGCUGUCUGGGUUUAGACAGAAACUGAAAUAGUAAUUUAAACCACUAUAACUAAAGAUAUGCUUAACUAAAAAUUAUGCUAUUUAGCUUGAUGGAAAGCUUAUGAAAAGUACUACAACUCAUAUAUUUUCAUCCAGGCAUGAUUCACAACCUAACUGAGCCAAACAAUACAAACUUGUAGAUCCACUCAGAAUAGAAGCAAAGCAACACAGAGCAUUUGUUAUUUUUAUAACUCUUAAUUAGUCGUGCCUAAAUUCAUGAAACUUUUAGCAGACAUCAAAUAUUAUAUGUAAAGCAUGCCACAAUAUUUUCACAUAUAUUUGAGCAAUAGUACAGUGGUUAUGAAAAAGACAAAUAUAACAAGCAAUUAAAACCGAACUGCAUAAAUCUAUUUUUACUGCUAAAACUGCAAACUAAACCAUGCCAUAUUAUAGAUCUACAGCAUAGAGAAUUUCACAAGGAUUCCAAAACGUCUACAUUUGCUAUUUUACAACUUUUCCAUGAAUUACUUUGGAUUUCCAAAGCUCACCCAGGGAAAAGGAAAACAGAUCUUUCACCGGGGACCCUGGACUUUCCAUGAAUCACGCAACAGCCCGCAGAUACUAUUCAUAUGAGUCUUGGCUUCGCAUCUGAAACCCUAGAUUGUUUCUUAUUCCAACACAGGCCCUUUUCUUCUUCCUAUUACGGAAACAGAGACGAAACGAAACGGGAGACCGAGAAGUCUGGGCACCGGCCGGCCGAUGGUUGCUGCAAGGGAGGGCGUGGCCACGACGGGAAUGGGCCUGCGCACAGGCACUCCCACGUGCACGGCUUGGCCGCUGCAGGAAGCUGCAGUGCAGCAGCACCGGUGCCCAUGGAGGCUGCCUGUCCAUGGCGGACAGAGGGAGAGAGUGGAGAGGGAGGAAGGCGAGUGGAGGAUGGGAGAGCGUUGAGGGAGUGGAGGAGGACAGGGAGAGCUCUCUGGCGCUCGUCCACAAUGGCGCAGAGAGAAGACAGGGCAAGGUGGAGGUGGCAGCAAUGGAGAGGUUGAACUCGUGCAUGGUCGCCACGUCCAGAACACGUGCUGGCCUUUGAGGCAUUCUGCCGAACAGGUGGCGGGCAAUAGAGUGGUCAACGUAGGAUCCAAAUAUGGGCUAGCUACGGGCCGAAUUUGGAGAUGGGCCAAAUAUGAAGUUUGUCAAACUCGUGCUGCUCUACAUUUUUCUUUCAAGUGUCGUGGUCAUUAGGAUUAUAGAUUAAUAGAUAAUUGAUGCCAAUCUAUGAGUGUCAACGAAUUGAUAGUGAUUAGCAAAACUCAAAAUUGAUGACCAAAACGAAGUCAAACUUGUGUCGUCUUUUGGCAUGCUGUAGCCCACAAUAUGUGCUCCAACGUUUAUUUUGGUGCACAAGCAAGUUGUUCAUAAGGAUUAGGAGAACGCCGGAUGCCAACGUGAUGAACUGCAAACCUAGACUUAGAAACUCUAAGUGCUGGAAAUUAUAGCAGAUUCAAUCUUGUGACUAUUAUUUGACAUGCUUAGAACAUGAUUCAGACUUAGUAACUUUAAUAAAUAUUGUAGUCUGCAAACUAUACUACAUCUUGUACAAAAGGACCUUGUACUGGUUCAGUUUUAUUUAGAAGAUACAAGGCUGCCAACUAGGGUACCCGAAACUGAGCACCUCAGGACUUAGCCAAAAUUCUGGAGUUCCCAAAACAGCACUGUAUUGAAUCUUAUAAGCUCAAUUUGACUAGGUUAGGGACCAAACUAGCUCUUGACCAUUAAACAAAGUUUGUUCUACAGAAUCUGAAAUACAACUUUCAUUAAGUUCAAACCUCAGAACUAGUAUAGAAGUCAAACUUUCACUUUGGUCAAUGCAGCAACUUGAUAAAGCUCAAACUAAGGUUUUAGGCUAAUUGAAGCACUUUCUGGGCACAAGCUCAACAUGUACCCUUCAUGACUUUUAUUGUAGAGUUCAUCUAGAGUUAUUUGGGAAAGGUUGCAAGGAUUGGUUGAUGACCUAUGGUUCUAUUCACUUAAUGGGGUCAUUCCAACAAGCAUGUAACUUAUCAUUUCAUGUGACCUUUUGAUUCCAAACUCCAUGAAACUUUUUGAGUGAUCACUAUAGGCAGUGAUGGAUGUGGAACACAUGAGAGAGGUUCUAUUAAUGUCACCCAAGCAUGCACUUUGAAAAGGUCAUAUAUGUAAGCAAGGGUGCAUUCUCCAAGGUUAACUUGAGGCUCACUUUCCUAGAUUGACUCUAUCAUGAUCAUUACCACUUAUCAUGACAUGUUUGAGCUCAAGACCUAGGGUCUAACUAGUGGCAAACACCUGGGGUGUUACAACCCUCCCCCCUUAAAAGAAUCUCGUCCCGAGAUUCAGAACAAAAGACUUCCAAGGGUAGAGAAGUAUGUUAUUCACUUCUAACAUUGGCGAUAGCAGUCAACUACUUAUCUCUGAGCAUCAGAGAGGCUGAUUUGGUCAAGUUACUUUCUGAUACUUGUUCUUCGUAGUGAAUUUUUGUCUAAAGAAUUUCCUUCAUUGACUUCCAUGAAGCAUUGUUACUUUGGGAGGAAUUCAAGACAACACUAUCACAUGUACUACAUUUCCAAUGUAUGAUGGAUGGUUCGGAGCAGAGUAAACUACUCAUUGCAAUGUUUCCAUAUUUGUUCACAAGGCUCGAAAAGCAGUGCUCUACCAAAAUGGCUUGAGUACAACCUUUCGCAGGGGAUGAGAUCAUGAACUAGAUAAACAUCCUAUGAGUGUUAUGAGAAACCAGCUAACCAACAACGAGGUCUAUUUUGGUCAUAAGGUCUAAUCACUUAGAUGCUAAUUGAUGGAAAGCUACAUAAUGUUCCAUGUGUGCAGUUCUUUUUCUCUAUAACCACACUGUAUUAUCUAAGUCUAUCAAGUUAGCACUCACUAUUCAAGGAAUUUCAUGGCUCCAAGUGUUAACAAUUACCUAGGUCGUAUCAAUACAACCUCUUGGGUAAAAUGAACAUAGAAGAUACCCAAGGCAUGUUAGUAUUGGAUAAGCAUUGCUAAAGAAGAAUGAUAGCAGGGUAUAGAGGACAAUAAUAGUUGCAAGUAUUCACCGAACUAAGGAAACAAGACACUACCAAGCAAGUCAACUACAAUUUUCCAUCACUAAGCAACAACUUAGUAGGCUCUUGGUCGACUUGCAUUGUAGAGAAUAGCUUGGUGAGACUACUUUUGAGAUUGAGGAUUCCUUUCUAGGAUCACACAACAGCUCUAAGAUAAUAAUUCUGAGAUUUGUUGUUUAACACCUCUCUCUAGCUCUUCAUGUAGCAGCAACUUUUUCAUGGAGGAUAGAGGAUAGGGUUUUUCUUUACAUCUGUCUUAGAAAACAACUUAAAUUGUGGUUUCGACACCAACUCAAGGAUGCACAAGCAUUGGACUUGUGGGCCAUUUUUUUUUGGUGGAGCUCAAGGCAUACUCCUCAUGGAAGGACUGUGUUACAACAGAUGAGAUAUGAUUUUUGAUUAUCUUUUGGCACUUCAUCCAAUCAAGCAUGAAAGAAAACCUUUGAUAGCGGAACACGCAUAAUGAUGCUGGCCGAGGGACAUACUUUCUCUAGCUUGUGACCCAGAUAUAGCAUCUAGUACUAUAUGUGUGAUUGUCCAAGAGGGAAUUGACUUGACAACAUUGGGUUUAGAGAAGGAGGCCAUAUUUGCAUCAUUGAUCGACUCGUUAUCUUCUUUGCUGAACAACAGUCUAUGAGAUAUAGCUGUUAUAGCUACUAAAGAGUCAUUAUCUAGCUGGGGAUUAUCUUUCUUAUUGGUAACCAACCAGUUGUCCCUUAACACUAAAAACUUCCAAAGCUUUCUUCUUUGGUGGCAACAAGUGUAGUUGAUGCAUUUGUAGGCAGUCAAGAUCAAAGUUAGCCAGAAAGGAGAUCACAAUAGAGAUGGUUCAUAAUGACUGUGUGAUCACCAUGAUCAAGAUUUAGAUAAAUUCUUGUCUGACUGAUAACUUGUCCAACUUUAAGUGUUGUGUGCCAUUUGGAUUCAAUAGUGGAUGACACAAGUUACUCACUAAACAACUUAUAUCGCUACAUGGGUAGCAAAUAGAGUCUCUUCUCUACCACCCCUUGCUGUCUGUUAAGGUUUAUGUCGGUAACCUAUUCUUCAAAGGUUAUCUUUUUAGCAACUUCAAAAGGAAGUCCUAUUAGAUAAGUCUGAUAUAGAUCCUUUGAUUGAAGAUAAGGAAAGAUAACCAAGGACAAGCUCAUGAGAAGAUCACACAGUGGUGUAGUUUUAUAAUAGAUCAUGACUAGCAACCACGAUACCAGUGCGUGCCGAGCAGCACGACCUUGUGUCUGCAGCCAUAGGAUGCUCUCGGUUUCGUCACGGCACCGUCAAUCGUUAAUCAUGACAAUAUUAUUGACCUUACCACCAACGUGAAAUCUCACAUGACAUAGGUAGGUCUUGCAUGUACAAGGAUCAUGUGCAAGACAAAAUUAAGCAAGCAAUGAUGACAGCAAGAUUUGGAGGUAACAACUAGAAGGUUAAAGGAUGAGAACACGACACAAGACAUAAAUGGGUAUGCCUUAUGCCCAUCAAGGUCAUUACCUAACAAUUAAUUUAUGAGAUGUGGUCAUGUUGGGUAGGAAUAUGAGAUCAAAGUUGAUAAGCAUCCAAGACUUGGGGAGGUUGGAGAUGAAUUAAGCAAACUCCAAAGGUAAAAACACUACCCGAUCAGAGAUUUAGAUGAUAGGGAGUUACAUGAUUUGUAAAGCAAAAGAUUCCAAGAUUAGGCAGCAAAAGAUUGCAUUACACAAGCUAAGUUUUGCGAGAUGCAACCAGGAGGUCCAACAUGGAUUUGGUAUGGUCUCCGUAACUAGCAAAGAACAACUAUAGUCAAAAGCUUUCUGUAGCGAGAACUUAUCCUAGCUAGUUGGCUGGACAAGGAUAUUUGCAAACGGGUGUAGGGAAACCAUUGUAUAUGCAAGUAUUUAAGGGUCUGGACAUGGGUUUACGUAUCAAGCAUAAGCAUGGAUGUUCCAACAUUCAAAACUAACAACCAAGUCUAUAAGUUGGGCUCCUAAAAAAGGGAACCUAAUUUGAUACAACCAACACACAAUCUAGAUAACCAACAUCCACACAACAUAACAGUUUUAAGCAAGCACUUGAGAUAACUCAAACAAUCACACUUAAACAACCAUUACUAAGCACAAGGCUUACACAUAACAAGCAUCUAUCUACAGCAAUACAACACAUUUGUCCCACCUACAAGGAUUAUGAUACCAUAUGUGCCACAAAGCAAGUGGACAUGGCUCAGUCCUUUAGGGAGAAGAUGAUUUUGAGAUAGAUAGUGAAAGGGCUCCAAAAGAUUUUUGCAUGGCUGCACUAUCAUGCAAAUGGACAUACCACAAGCAAGAGUUUAGCAUUUAGGAAAACUCAGCAGAAAAAGGUUAUCAAACCUAUAGAGCUACUUCAAAACUUAACAAGGUUGAAAAAGAAUAGCAAUCAGCUUUGCCUAAACUAGGAUAGAGAACUUGACAUGAAUUUUAGAAAAUGAUAACUAAAGUUCCAUUGAUCCAACAAACAUGAUCCUCAAUCUUAUGGAAGACUUAUUAAAUUACCUACAAUUUUCUUAUUAUCAUCUUAAGGUGCUUCUACGGCUAACAAGCACAAUCAAAACAAAGAAGGCAAAUCUAUCCAGAUUUUUGACAGAUUAUGUCAUUCUACUUCACAAGCUCAUAACAUAAGAUUUAGACCACCAAAAGUAGUGAUCUAAGACAUUUUGGAAACCUUAACAAAAGUACUACAGUUCUUCUAUUAACUCCAAGACAUGAUUCUAUAUGAAUACUAGUUAAACAAACUAAACAUUCAGAUCUGUUCAGAACACAAUCUGGAUCUGACAACAACUUCAAAAGUUCAUAACUCCUAAACCAUCAGGCCUAUGGUCAUGAAAUUUUAGGAUAGACUAGAUAUAGUGGUUGGCUACAACUUUGGUAUUCACUAUAAUUACAGAAAACGCCAUUAUUGUUAUGAAAACACCACUAGAAUACAAACUGCUCUAGCAGCCAAAAUUCAACACACAUAUCAAACAAUGUUUUCCCUUGUUAUAUUAACAAGAGAGCCCACACAUGUAUAACUCCAGUAGCUACAACAUUAUUACCUAGACAAAUAAUAAUUUAAUUUGGUGACAAUGAGGGAUUAACAUAAGAAUCACAAUUGAUUAAGUGAGGUUAGAGCAUUUGCAAACAUAUUCAUGAGCAACAUAUUCACCACUUGGCUAAACAAGCUGACACCUACAAAUUCAAGCAUAUAGCCUCAACUAUUUCUAUUAUGGGUAGGCCAUACUUUUAGUUAGUUAAUUAACAUUAGAGGAUUCAUUGGAACACAUUCACAUACAUGUUCACCGACAAGUUUUAGUUUUUAAAGGAUUGUAGUUUCUACUACUACUAACUUAGCACUCCUAUAGAAGCAAACACUCAAGGCUAAACACAUCACACACUACUUUCAAGCAAAGCUAUUCAAGUAGCAUGGACUAAGACAAAUUUUUGUAUGGCUUCACACAAGGAAGGGGGUAACAUCACAUCACUAACAAGUUACUUAUCAUUAGAACAAGAAUGAGAGAAGAAUAAUUAUGCAUAAUGCAACAAUCAUGAUGAUGCAUGCUUCGUCUUAUUCGUCCUCACGAAAUUGCCAGCCUAUGGUGGCAAUCACAUUCUAUGUCGGUGGCAUAACACGUACUCUCUCGACAUAUAGCUAGUCGUCAACUACGUUCAAUCUAUGCAUUCGUGGUUAGUGUACCUGCAGAAGAAUUUCAUUUCAGCCCAUCCCCACAAUAAUAUGAGUACAGAAAUGAAAGUCUGGUCUCUAGGUUGAAAGUUAAAUACUCCAAUAUAUAUUCCCGAAUAUAUAUUGCAGCAUACUACCCAUGUGAAGCACGCCCAUGUAUACAAGAGACAUGUAUACGCGGUCGUACCAACUAACCCACAAUUAAGUACCUUCAUAUAGACAUGUGUGUAACAUGUAAAUAUUCCAGUAACCACAUCUAACUCUCUCCUAGACCGAUGGUUGGACGGUCAUGCUCUCACAACUCACAUUCUUACCUUGAGCGUCGAGGCAUAUAGAUCCAUGCAUUACCACUCAAGCAAGUGGCAUCCAUACAAUUUCACGCCGUAUGGACGACGAAAGAAAAAUUUUGCUUACCAUGGCGUAGAGGUAUAUGAUCCAUUCAUUACCACUUAAGUAAGUGGCAUCCAUACUAUUGCACGCCGUAUGGACGACGAAAGUAAAAGUUGCGAUAAAGUAAACCACCAUAGUUAGUAUCAGUUUACAUAAAGCCACCUAGUAGUCCUUAAUUGGGCAUAAUUGGAGGUUGUCGCUAGCAUAGUUUUUGUAAAUUAGUUUUGACAAGUUUUGCCUGUAGCUAAAGUUUUAGUCAAAAUAGGAUUUUCAAAACCAAAACUUUGUUUUUAAAACAGUGUACCUGAUAGUAUUAUACUUAAUCAUGCUCUGAUGCCAGCUGUGACAGAACCGCCCAAUUUAUACAAGCUUAAGUACGACUGUCCCCGUUUAACACGUUGACACGCGCAUACUCUCACUUAUAUAAACCCGGUAGUCUGCCGAGUGUCACGAAGGACCUCGGUAAAUCAACUUUACACCAAGAUCGCAUGAUUAAGCAAAUACACAUCACAUACACAGAGAUUUGCAGCGGAAAUAAUAUUACAAAAGAGUUCACAAAUAAUAAUACAAGUUUGGAUUUCCAAAUUGGUUAGAAAACAACAUAGCUUUCAAAUUAUUACAAUAACAUAAGUUUCAAAUACAUUGCUAGCAUAAGUGACAUCCUCCGACAAAAGCAUGUAGAUGAGAACACUAUAUAGAAUCACCGAGCCCACCGGCUGUUAGCCACCAUCUUUAGCAGACUAAAAACUUCACCUGCAACAUGGUGGGAUAAACCCUGAGUACUCGAAUGUACUCAGCUAGACUUACCCGACAGGAGAGAAAAUAAAAGACUCUAAAGGAUAUGCAAGGCUUUUUGGUGGAGUUGGUUGGAUAGCAUAACUUUGCCAAAAAGAGCAUUACUAUCAUGAGUCCUUACUUUCAACCUUUUAGUCAAUAUUUUAGCAUCAAGUUCAAUUAAGCUACCAUAGCUAGAUUUUGCACCUAUUCUAUAGCAAUCACUUGAUUAAUAAGCAUCACAUUAAUAACCAUAUCCGGUUUAUCAUGUAGCCAUCAUCAUCAUCAUAACCAUGAAGUUUCAUUUAGUUUAUCUACGUUGCUGCUGCCCGAGUCAAGUUCUCACUAUCCGGGAGAGACGGCGAUUCGAUUCGAUUCCUAUCCAGCUGGAGGGGUAUUCCUAGCACUCACCCAGGCAUACUUAACUAGAGUAGCUUGGAUCACCUUUAGCACAACUCCGGACCAAUUCUCGGGUCCGUACGGCACCGCACCCCCAGGGACCGCCAAUCUGCCAGGGUCAGGACUCUAACCUGACACCUCGGUCUUACGCCAUUGACUCCCCGCACAUCCUUACUACCAACCGGGGUGCGCACUUAAACCGAACGGGGUAUCCGGCCGGAGAUGCACUCGUAGGCUUCGCGGUCGGAAGGACUUAUCCGGCCAACUAAGUGAUAGGCAUGCGUUCAACAUGACACGGGGACGUACAUCGAUUCGGUCCUUAAACGACACAGACGGGGAAAGAUUCACACCCAAGACCUCCAUGCCUUGUUGCUGCACUAUCGUCAUCCCGCCCGGUCUCAAGUUCAUUAUUAGCACAUGGUUAUUUCCACGAUAGCAAAUAUAGCCAACCGUGAUCAGGUAUCCACCUAUCUCUCGCAGGUGACAGGAAAUCACCUGGCUUCUACCGAGCUAAGCAUAGCUAAGCAUAGAAUGUCUUCCUUAUACUAGUAAGGGUUCAGGUAGUUUCAUAUAGUGGACAAGGUAGGAAUUAUGCACCAACGGUUUCAUUCAACUCCUAUCACCUAAUGCAUCAUAUAAAGUUAUACUCUUGUACUUUUAUAAAAAGAGAGGGUAGGAGACUUAGAAUGCUCCGGGGCUUGCCUGGAAUCCGACACAAGUCAGUUAAGUUAGCUUGCGCCAUCUUGACGGCAUUCAAGUUCGCAACACUUGUGUAGUCCUUCCAUCACCCCGAUAGGUCCACCAUCACGUCCUUCACGUGGUUCAUCUAGCGUACCUAAAUGAGAUGCAAGAUGCAAGUGCAUGAAAAUAUAGAAGUGCAAUAGACAAAGCAUCACACACAAGAAGCAUGGCAAGAGCAUGGUUACACUAAACAUACUUAAGCACAUCUCACUGCUCACUUAAUGAUUACACAACCAACAUGCUAAGUCAACAAAGAAUGCAACACUAAACAUAUUAGACAUGGCAUACAUGUUUCACAAGGUCUCAGGUAUAUUAACUUGGCCAUUACCAAGGACAUGAGUCAUACAUAGCAAUAUACCAAGCAAGAACAAUAAAAGGAAUCUGUCAUUUUUAGGACUGUUAACAGCAGCUGAGAAAAUAAAUCAUAACUGGAGUUACACAACUCCAAAAGAUAUGCAAGAAGACAUUCUGGAAAGCUUAAGAAAUUAUCUACAUUUCGUCUUUAUACAUCAAAGCAUGAUUCAUAAGUUUGUUAGGUCGAAAUAUUGGAAUUACAAAAUCAGGUCCUAACAAGACAGAGAGCAACCAUUUCUGAAAUCCAACUUUGAACAGUCAUAACUUACAAACCAUAUGGCUAAAUACUACCAACAUUUAACAGCAGCUAGAUAAAUUAAUUAUCUACAACUUUGCUAUAAACAAGAUUCUCUUAAAACAAGAUUUACACAUUGUAAUCCAAACAGUUCUAGAAACUGUCCAGAAACCAGAAUUGCAACAAUUAAUUAUUAACUUAUGUUUCAAACAUGCAUUUGAGCAAAACCAUUGUCACCAAUAGUUUUCAUAUAUCUAAAGAACACCAGAAAACAUAGUGGUCAUUACCAAAUAAAUUUAUUUAAUGCCUUUCUUAAUUUAUUUGGAUAAUAAGGUGAAUUAAAGAACAUAUAUCAAACAUGCACAGUAUAUUCUACAAAUAUUACAGUAGAUUCUACAUACUAUCCAUAGUCUACUGUAUAAAUUUCACUGCAUUUGAAUAAGCAUAGCAAGAUCUAUUAAAAAGACAAAUUGCUAUUGCAAUUAACCAUGUGAGAGCAAGAUAAAUGCACAAGUCAUAUUUUCGUCAAACACAUGGCCAUAACAUGCAUAAACAUGAUACAAAAAUAUCAUAGGAUUGUAUUGGAACAACAUUUUCCAUUUUUACAUUUUUAUUUAUACUUAUAAACCAUUUAUCAAGAUCCAUAAAGAUAUCUCUGUCCAAAACAUGGACAGAAUCUAUCAUGUCAAAUUAAACAGACAUAACUUGAGUUUCACAUGUCCAUAAAUUAUGGUUAUGUACUUUCUAGAAAGCUUACUAAAUUGUGAACAACUUUGUUAUAAACAUCUAGAGCUAAAUCUACCACUAACAAGGACUUACAUAACAAACAAUGUAUUGCUGUCUGGGUUUAGACAGAAACUGAAAUAGUAAUUUAAACCACUAUAACUAAAGAUAUGCUUAACCAAAAAUUAUGCUAUUUAGCUUGAUGGAAAGCUUAUGAAAAGUACUACAACUCAUAUAUUUUCAUCCAGGCAUGAUUCACAACCUAACUGAGCCAAACAAUACAAACAUGCAGAUCCACUGAGAAUAGAAGCAAAGCAACACAGAGGAUUUGUUAUUUUUAUAACUCUUAAUUAGUCAUGCCUAAAUUCAUGAAACUUUUACCAGACAUCAAAUAUUAUAUGUAAAGCAUGCCACAAUAUUUUCACAUAUAUUUGAGCAAUAAUACAGUGGUUUUGAAAAAGACAAAUAUAGCAAGCAAUUAAAACCGAACUGCAUAAAUCUAUUUUUACUGCUAAAACUGCAAACUAAAACAAGCCAUAUUAUAGAUCUACUGCAUAGAGAAUUUCACAACGAUUCCAAAAAGUCCGCAUUUGCUAUUUUACGAAUUUUCCAUGAAUUACUUUGGAUUUCCAAAGCUCACCCAGAAAUCUGCAAAGACAAAGGAAAACGAAAACAGAUCUUUCACCGGGGACCCUGGACUUUCCAUAAAUCACGCAACAGCCCGCAGAUACUAUUCAUAUGAGUCUUGGCUUCGCAUCUGGAAACCUAGAUUGUUUCUUAUUCCAAUAUGAGGCCCUUUUCUUCUUCCUAUUAGGGAAACAGAGACGAAACGGAACGGGAGACUGAGAAGUCUGGGCACCGGCCGGCCGAUGGCUGCUGCAAGGGAGGGCGUGGCCACGACGGGAAUGGGCCUGCGCACACGCACUCCCACGUGCACGGCUUGGACGCUGCAGGAAGCUGCAGUGCAGCAGCACCGGUGCCCAUGGAGGCUGCCUGUCCAUGGCGGACAGAGGGAGAGAGUGGAGAGGGAGGAAGGCGAGUGGAGGAUGGGAGAGCGUUGAGGGAGUGGGGGAGGACAGGGAGAGCUCUCUGGCGCUCGUCCACAAUGGCGCAGAGAGAAGACAGGGCAAGGUGGAGGUGGCAGCAAUGGAGAGGUUGAACUCGUGCAUGGUCGCCACGUCCAGAACACGUGCUGGCCUUUGAGGCAUUCUGCCGAACAGGUGGCGGGCAAUAGAGUGGUCAACGUGGGAUCCAAAUAUGGGCUAGCUACGGGCCGAAUUUGGAGAUGGGCCAAAUAUGAAGUUUGUCAAACUCGUGCUGCUCUACAUUUUUCUUUUAAGUGUCAUGGUCAUUAGGAUUACAGAUUAAUAGAUAAUUUGAUGCCAAUCUAUGAGUGUCAACGAAUUGAUAGUGAUUAGCAAAACUCAAAAUUGAUGACCAAAACGAAGUCAAACUUGUGUCAUCUUUUGGCAUGCUGUAGCCCACAAUAUGUGCUCCAACUUUUAUUUUGGGGCACAAGCAAGUUGUUCAUAAUAAUUAGGAGAACGCGGGAUGCCAACGUGAUGAACUGCAAACCUAGACUUAGAAACUCUAAGUGCUGGAAAUUAUAGCAGAUUCAAUCUUGUGACUAUUAUUUGACAUGCUUAGAUGAUGAUUCAGACUUAGUAACUUUAACAAAUAUUGUAGCAUGCAAACUAUACUACAACUUUUACAAAAGGACCUUGUACUGGUUCAGUUAUAUUUAGAAGAUACAAGGCUCCCAACUAGGGUAUCCGAAACUGAGCACCUCAGGACUUAGCCAAAAUUCUGGAGUUCCCAAAACAGCACUGUAUUGAAUCUUAUAAGCUCAAUUUGACUUGGUUAGGAACCAAACUAGCUCUUGACCAUUAAACAAAGUUUGUUCUACAGAAUCUGAACUACAACUUUGAUUUAAGUUCAAACCUCAGAACUACUAUAGAAGUCAAACUUUCACUUUGGUCAAUUCAGCAACUUGAUAAAGCUCAAACUAAGGUUUUAGGCUAAUUGAAGCACUUUCUGGGCACAAGCUCAACAUGUACCCUUCAUGACUUUUGUUGUAGAGUUCAUCUAGAGUUAUUUGGGAAAGGUUGAAAGGAUUGGUUGAUGACCUAUGGUUCUAUUCACUUAAUGGGGUCAUUCCAACAAGCAUGUAACUUAUCAUUUCAUGUGACCUUUUGAUUCCAAACUCCAUGAAACUUUUUGAGUGAUCACUAUAGGCAGUGAUGGAUGUGGAACACAUGAGAGAGGUUCUAUUAAUGUCACCCAAGCAUGAACUUUGAAAAGGUCAUAUAUGUAAGCAAGGGUGCAUUCUCCAAGUUUAACUUGAGGCUCACUUUCCUAGAUUGACUCUAUCAUGAUCAUUACCACUUAUCAUGACAUGUUUGAGCUCAAGACCUAGGGUCUAACUAGUGGCAAACACCUGGUGUGUUACAAGCUUGAACAAGUCAAGUUUGGAUGAAUUUAAUUCAAUGUUGCAUGAUGAUCGGUUGGACAUACCUUGUUAUUCUUCACUCUUUUACUUCAAGCCUGAAUCGCUAAGAAAACGGGAUUGCUUCCCCCGAGCUGAAUGUUGACAUAGUCUUUAAUCUUGAAUCCGCACAACAUAGAUGUUCUUCAAUAUUCUUGAGCUUCAAAAUGUCAGUGAUGAUUGCAGCGCUUCCAAUUUGAUGAAGAUAUCUAGAUCAUUGGGGAUUCUCUCUUUAAAUCAUGUUAAACUCAAAUAGACAACAAAACUUGUGGCACCGAUUAAACAUUAGUAGUUGGCCACUUAAGCCUUAGUUGUCGAAGCUUUUUAGAUUUUUUUUAAUUAUUUUUCUAAGCAGAGUUUCAACAAGAUCUCUUUCUCAAUAUAUAUAUAUAUAUAUAUAUAGGUUUUAAUCUUUCUAUGAAGCAAAAAGGAAAUGGAACAGGAUGAAUGCCUGUUUAUUUAUUUUUAUAUUUUUUUUAUUCCACCACGGUGAAUAUUGGUGUGGGCUUUUACACACCACACAAUUUAUUCACGUGGGGUUUUAGUAUUUAAGAUGCAAUAAGUUAUAUAAAAUAUUUUUAUUAUAUUUUCUAAUGCAAUAAUAAUGCAGAAAGAUAAAUAUGUUAUUGAGAAAUAAAUAUGCUAAAAACAAAUGCAGAAAAGAUAAAUACAAUAAACAUACUAAAGCUAGUGAUACAUUAAAUUAGCAGACAUCAAGAUCAUUAUCAAAAUCUUCACACCAAUUGCUUCCCCGGCAACGGCGCCAAAAAUGCUUGUUGACAUUCGUUAAGUGCAAUAAGAAUAAUAAAAAAUCCGCAAGCGCACAGACCAUCAUCGUAGCAUUUUACCGGGAGUAUUCUAGGUAUCGUUAUUUAUAUUUUACCACUGGGAAGCUAAGGUCAAAGAAUCUGAUAACUUACUAUCAUGCAUCUACUAAUUUAAUAAACCAACUAGACUAAGGUAGGGGUAAAUGAUAUAUGAUAGGUAAUAAUAUAAAGGUGAGAAUUCUAUGAUAAAUGCUUAGAUAGCCAUAGCGGGAGGACAACGGGAGAGACCCGAGUUCCUGUAUACUUCUCUAUUACUUCAGUUCUAUGAUAACAAAUAAUGAAUAGAUAUAGCAAUCACAUAUUAGCACUUUGGGACAUCAGAACACCAACCACAGAAAGAGAACUAGAAGGGGGCUGGGAAGCUCUGACUACAGUCCUACAAACACCGAUCCGAACGAGGUGGAAUACGUCGACCGUUAGGGUUGUCACUACCCUAGGGCUACCACAACAAUCCGCAGGACUGGGUGCAACCUUAGGUAACCUCUAGUAUAGACACCACGUCUACACUAACGAUUACUACUCUAAUUACUAUGAAUAACUAGAGCACUUGAUGUGAACGGAGAUCCUAUGCCAAAAUAUAACAACUACACUACUCGAUAAUAAUAAAGGCAUAAAAGUAAGUAGAGAAGAUAAAUAUAUUAAAGCAUAAGCCUUACAAUAAAGACAUACCAAAACUCUGAAGACUUCUCCAGAACCGAAGCACAGCUCCGCUCUCCCUAACUCCCGACUAGGACUAAUCUAUUACCUUGGAAUGUCUAGCCCUAAUUCUCUAUAGAGGAAAGGUUAUGGCACCUCGCAACUCUAUAAUGAUGUGUUCUCCUCCAGGGGCCAGGGGCCUUGCUUAUAUAGUCCUCCUCCUUUGUGCGUUUUUGGUUCAGCAGGCGAUGUGGUACUAAACUUUCCACCAUAUCUCAUUAAAAUGCACAAAGGCCUUAAUGGACCAAAAUCUGAUUUGGGCCCAAUUAAUCCCACAGCUCUUUUAUGUGGAGUCCUUCUUUUAUUAAUAUCUCUUGAUUCCGAACUCCAAAUAUAGCAAAUAAUAUAUGCAUUUCGAUCAGCUCGACGAGAUCUUUGUAAUGGUGUACUUCAUUCUGGGAUUGGUGCUUGUACCACGGCGGGCGCCCUAGGAUCAAGGGCGGGCGCCCUAGUCCUAGGCCUGUCUCGGCUCCGCUUCAGUCGAAUUGCUUCUAGAGUCUUCCUGAUUAUGGAAAAUUACCGCACACAUUAAUUCUCUAUGUAAACCCGACAUGUGGGCCUUUCCUUCAUAUUUCCCGAUAACCCCCUGCAGAAAUAGACAAACACCAAAACUCGUGGAAUUCUAUCAGAUGAAACCCUAAGUCUAGGUGUCGGUUGCAUUUGAAUCCCUUUUUAUGAUUAGUUGACGGUUAAAUAUGAGCAUUAAGGGCCGUCAACAGAGGCUAUAUAAGCAAGGCCCCUGGCCCCUGGAGGAGAACAUGUUGAUAUUUGGUAACGCCACCAGGAAACGAUCCGUAAGCCCACGGAUAUCAGUGAGCACUUCACCCGGGAGGUUGUCCAGAGUAUCGUAUUUAUAUUUUACCACUAGGAGAAAGCGUGCCUCUGACUAAUCAAAUCUAUUGCUACUACCCUUUAGGCUACAAACAAUGUGAUUCGAUGUGAGCGAUGUAUAGAGAAGACUACAACCGUAAUCUCGUUCUAACCUUGGUAAGGAUAAUCUACUGUUCUAUUGGGGUGGCUUACGGAAUCUAGACACCAUAAAGGAUGUUCAACCCGCACCUAUAAACCCUAUCGAUCCUACUAACGGGAUGUGGGCUACAAAGGUAACUCAGAAAUGUCAUGUUCCUCGCUACUACCACGGUCUAGCUUGACAGGGGAUAUCUAUGAGUACCCUAGCCCAAACACCACGUUUACGCUAGCAAUGAUUACUCUAAACUCAACCGGAAGAGAUUAAAGUAAACUCAUAAACCAAAGAACAAUAAGAACAAGAACUUACUAGAAUUUAGAAGUCGAAAUACUGAAGAAUCCUAGGAGCAAGCCUCGGGUUAGUAGACUUGAUCCUGCAGGAACAACCUCGGAGUAGACACCGACAGGCCGGGCUUCCUCCGAUCUACACCUCCACUCUAUCUCUCUCAAUCUAGUAGAACUUAGAAGAACUAAUUCUAAUCUCACAUUGGAUGCUAAGCCCUAAUUUUAUAUAGAGGAAAGGUUAUCCUUCGAGGGCACCUCUCAAAUCUAUAUUGAUGUGUUCUCCUCCAUGGGCCAGGGGCCUUGCUUACAUAGCCUCCUCCUUUUGUGCCUUUUUGGUUCAGCAGGCGAUGUGGUACUAAACUUUCCACCAUAUCUCAUUAAAAUGCACAUAUGUCUUAAUGGACCAAAAUCUGAUUUGGGCUCAAUUAAUCCCGCAGCUCUUUUAUGUGGAGGCCUUUUUUUAUUAAUUUCUCUUGAUUCCGAACUCCAAAUAUAGCAAAUAAUAUAUGCAUUUCGAUCAGCUCGAUGAGAUAUUUGUAAUGGUGUACUCGAUUCUGUGAUUGGUGUUUGUACCAGGGCGGGCACCCAAGGGGGGAGGGCGGGCACCCUGACCCCGGGCCCGUUCGGCCUCCCGUUAGUUCCCGUGGCUUCUAGACUCUUCUAGAUGAUAGAAAAUUGCACAGCACGUUAAUAUCUCUAUGUAAAACCGACGUGUGGGCCUUUCCUCCAUAUUUCCUGAUAACCCCUUGCAGAAAUAGACAAACACCAAAACUAGUCGAAUUCUGUCAGAUAAAACCCUGAGUCUGGGUGUUGGCUGCAUUUGGAUCCUUUUAUUUUUUUAUUUGAUGAUUAUAUUUGGUACUUAAGGACCGUCAACAAACUCCCCCAAGCUUACCUCUUGCUCAUCCCUGAGCAAGGAUAGACUCAAAAGUUUCUGCAGAGGUUUCAUGCCUUAAAAGUACACAUGCGUUCAAGCAAGAUCUCAUCUCUGAGUUAGAGUAAACUGUUAAAACUUAAAACUUACUUAUUUUACCUUUCACCAUGGGGCUUCCAACCGUCACUUGUGUCUUGAGCAGUUAAAAGAUAGAACGGUCAGGUCAAGCGUCAUGUCUCUUGUUCUUUGAUCAGCUAUAGCUCUGGAGUUUUUUCAGAUUUUCAAAUAAAACUCAGAGAUUCCAUGUAUGAUUCUCUCAAAUCUCUCUUUUGUGGUAUUUCUGGAUCCUUUCCAAGGCAGUAAUGGUAUAUGCCUUCUCUCAAAGUAUGUUGUAUUUUUGGUGUGAGGCAUAGUGAUAUUGCCUUCUCUCUCACCCUACUCUAAUAAGGUUUUGAUAUCUGGAGCUCAUAAGUGGGAGACAGAUAAUACAUACUUACAAGACAUUUAUUGCAUAGUCAAACCAUGGAUCCAGAAGAACAAGUCAAUAAGUCAAAUCAAGAUGUGCAGGUGUGGCAAGUGAAUGGUGUAUGGUGAUGAUGGUGAUAACAAUGGUGAAAGUCUAAUUCUACUUUUUGCUCUUUUAAGGGGAUACAUACCUUUCUUGCUCUUUUGAAACUUUUUUGAGGAGAAUGAGAUGCUCUAUAUUUUCUUUUUCUUUCCUCUCAGGUGGGUAUCUCGUACCCCUAAUUCUAUUGUCGAACACUUGUCUAUUUUUACCUCUCGUCUCACUUUUUCUUUUCUUUCGAGGUUCUGGGCACUUGUCUCUUUUUAUUUCCUCGUAUCCUUUUCUUUUUUUUCUUUUUUUCUUUUUUAGAACACUCUUCUCCUGAAAUAAUAUAGCAAGUGGUAGUAACCAAGAUAACUCGAGCAUUUAUUUCAUAGGGAAUAACAGGGAUAGGAUAAUCUUUUUGGCUAUUCUCUCCUGGAUAGGAGUAGAAUAAUUUUAGGUGAAUCUGGAGAUGGAAUUGAGUGGAUGUAUGUGGAUGCGUACUUCCGGAGUAGAAGUAGCAUGUAUGAGUGAACGUGCAAGUGAAUCUUGAUUUUAACCGCAUGACUAGCUCCUAAGGGUCUACACACCUUGACCACACAGCAGUAAAAAGUAAAUGUGUGGCUCAAAGUCUAGCAAGCAUGUAUAUAUGGCUGUGGUAGGAAUUUAAACUCUCAUCAUACAGGAACUCAUCAUAUGUUAUUUUAAAGAUUUUCAAAGAUAAAAUUCUCCAGAUUUCUAGCAUCUCUAGGAAUAGAUAAACAGCAGCUCAACCUUCUCAUAUCAUAUUUGUUAACGACUUAGAGUUUAGAUCAAGUACUCUUCCCACAAGUUCAGGUUUAAAGCAGGUUUAAAUUAUAACAGUUAUGCCUAAACUUGAGAGAGAGCUCAAACUUGAAAACUAGGUAUAUGGCAGAGUAACUAUUUAUCAUAUCCAUGUAAGAGUUUAUCAUUUAAGUUCAGUUUGGCCUAGACACUUUAUUUAUUUAUUAAGCAAACUAAGCAAAGAUAUAUAUAAAGCACAAAAUUUUUAUUUGGGUUUUCAUGAUUAUGCAUCUUUUUAUUAUUUGAGUAAAGUAUAAACGCGACUAGAAACACUUAGCUCGAUAAAUGGGGGUGCUCUUCCCCAAGCUAGAUUUUGACGUAAUUUCUUCUGAUGUAGCUAGCAGAUGAUGGAGGUGUAUCUGAAUGUCGGCAGCACCCUGACAGCGAUUAGAAUGUCCUUCAUCUGCUAGUCUUGUUUGAUCCUUGAACUUUGUGGAGCUCAAAUAGACAACAAAGCUUUGUGGAACUAGUUAAGUGUUAGCAUAAAUAUCUAGCCGUUAUCAUGUUGAGCGUCCUCAAUAAAUGUUACUCUCUUUAGUAGGAUCAUAAAUUUAUUUUUAUAUUUUUAUAUUUAUAGGACAGGAAUAUAUUUAUUUUAUUUUUACGCCACCACAGUGAAUGUACUUAUGGGUUUUAUGCCAUGAGUAUACUCACAUGGGGCUUACUAUUUUUGAACAUUUUUAUUUUCUUUUCAAGAUGAUAUGAACCUGAUUAACUAAGUAAACUAUUUUAAAUAAUUGGAGAGAAAAAGAUAACUACCAAUUUUACCUCUUGGCAAGGCGUUUGGUGUUUUUAAGUCCUCCAAACGGGACUCUCCGUUUUCUCAGUCAUCCUGGGAUUCGCUAGAUGGCGUAGUCGGUGGUUCCGACGGCGCCUCCUCUUUGUGUAUAACUAUCUUCUCUCUCCAUACCUGACUCGGUGCUACGUUCUCCUCAGGACAGUUCUGUUCAAGCUGUAUGUCUUCAGACCUUACCACUUCUCCUUCGUAGUCUGCCCAUCCGUCCUUGAUGAUUUGCCUCCUCUGGUUUCGGUUGCGUCGCCUUCUUCAGAGGGGAAGUGCAUGUGGACUUCUCCGGUUCCAAUAUAGAUGAUGGUUUGAUAGUGUUGAGGAACGGUCUUCCAAGGAUGGUGGGUGGAUCGUACUCGUCUUCUCCCAUGUCAAUGACCUGAAAAUCAUCUGGAGCUGAAUGUAUGUUGGUUGUAGAGGCCUGUUCCAUGCAGGAGCUGAUAAGUGACUGUGGCCAUUAUGUUGACGUCAGAUCCGGCGUCGUAGAGUGUCUUCUGAAAAGAGUAUACAUUGAUUGUGCACUCGAUGCUUGGAACACCAGGGUCAUCCUUCUUGAUCAGGAAAGGCGACUUGAGUCGACGAUCUUGACCUCUUUCGACAAGGAUCCAAUGUUUUAAGUCUUCUGGACAAGACUUCUCACUGUCUUCAUCUUUUAGGUGCAUCAUUUGAUUAGGUGUGGACCUUGACGUCUGCACCUCUUGAUACGGUGUCACCCAUUUUCUUCGUUUGUUCAACAGUUCGAGGUGCGGCAUUGGCAGCAUCCUGCUCAGUGUGUUUGUGCUUGUAGAUCCAAGUCCUUCACUUGGAGGAAUCUAGGAGUUGUAAAACUCCUUCAGGUUUUGCUCGAAGUGUUCCUGCUCAUAAAGACAAGGCAGAGAUCAAGUGCAUGGGCCCUGUUGGUGAAAAACACCAACAGAACCAAAAGUGUAUUUGUUCUUCUCUAAUCUUAAGCAUGGUGAGCAAGACAAAGUUGAUGGAUAAUAAGAUCAUGAGUGUAGCAUUUAAAACAUUUGUUAGAUCAGAUUGCUCAACCCAAUCGGAAGAUAAUCUAUCUAUAUUUAUGUUUUGUUUAUAUCUUCGAAAGAUUGAAUGUGCAACAUUUUAGCUUGUAUGAUUAGGAGUGUGGGAUCAUGAAGGUAGUACUAAGAACAAAGAUUAAAGGACUAAACAUGUUUGAAUUAUUUGGGUUGGUUAAUUUGGAGUUAUAAAUCAUACAUGUUUGUCUCUUUAUUUAUGUGAACGCCGGAACCAAGGAGAAGCUUAUAAAAGUGAUAGUCACAUAUCUUAAGAUGUUACCUUAAUUGAAGAGUGAUGGUACCAUCUCACCUUGUGGAAGCUUCCCAUUCGUAAUGGUUGUGUAUCUUGUUUAUGUACAUUGUCUCCUUUCAUGAAUCAUCUCUCUAUGAUGAAUGAGCUAUGUCCUUCUUGUGCAAAUUGUUAAACUUCAUGUGUCUCUCUCUUUAUAUCUGAUGUGAGUUUAUCUUAGGACUUCCCAAGUCGAUAUUGAAAGUUUUUCUGCAGGGGUUAGUCUGACAAAAUAUACCAAUGACUACACAAGCAGUUUUUAGUUCAAUAAUCGAACUAGACUCCAUGUCUAAUCAGAUUAAGGAAGGUUGUUUAACCUAAGCACCAUGCUUAAUUUAAAAGCCAAUAGAAGUAUGUGUAUUACUUCCAAACUAACACUUACUAGGAUAAACAAAGGUAGCGUGAUGGCUUUUAUAGAGAUCUACUCAAGUAGAGAUGAAGUAGUGUGAUUAGUAUUUAAUCAAUUGAGCAUGUCUCAAAGGUAGGGACAACCAACAUAGCAACAUGGCAAAGGAUGUUUUUAUGUAAAGUAUUUCCCCCAAGCUUGAAUUUUGCAAAAUUCAAGAUUGGAUGAAUUUAAUUCAAUGUUGCAUGAUGAUUGGUUGGGCAUACCUUGCGCUUGUCAUUCCUCGGAUCUUCUUGCUCCUCGAAAGGUUAGUGACAAGAAUACCCGAAGUAAUAUUUUUACAAUUAUCCUUAUAUGCUCAAUACACAUGGCAAUGUUGCAAAUAAUUAGAAGUUCAUGUUACGAUCUGAUAAGUGCUUGUUUUAGGACACUAAGCUUGUCCUUGGGAAACCAUCAAAUUAUGUUGGUGAAGUGGUUUCCCCUCCAACACCAACCUAAUCGUGCCUAUAUCAAGAUCGACUCUGCAAUAUUUAUUAUAGACAUAUGCAUCGAUAACCACCCCUUUAAAGUUUUUAUAAAUAGAAAGGAAGGGGGGGUUGGAGGUCUCAAAUGUGGUAAGGUUGGAGAGACCAAUUGAUUGAGGAGAUGUUUUAUAUGAGCAAGGAAUUGGUGAGGUAUUUAUGAAAUAACUUCCAUGCUCACUAUUGUUUCUCUCAUUCUCAAACUCCAAGGAUGAUUCUUCAUGAAUGCUUAAAAUUCCUCUAGGAUUGUCUCUCAAGAUUGUUUUAUCCAUCCAUUCAAUGGUGAUAGCACAUGGAUUUUUAAUGCCCUCUAGCCAUUAAUGUUGCUCUUCUCGAUCCUCCUUGUGGUCUUGGUGACUCUUAUGCAUGGGAUGUCUAGAGAGAUUCAUAGGAUCAUCGGGAGGUUUAAAAAAAAAGCAUAGUAGAAAUUAUUAGGCUUAAAUAUGGGUUUAAAGAUAGGUUUAAAUGAGUCAUCAAAAGUGGGCGUAGAAGGGGAGAAGAUGAGAUUGUCUUCUAAAUGGCUUCGCUCUCCUUCUAUUGCAUCACUUAAGAUGCCAUCCUUGAGUCUUUCUAGAUGUCCAUCAAAGGGAUUGGAUUUGAGAUGCUUUCUAAGAGAUCCCUUCUUAGGAAGGUUCAAACUAUAUGCACUCAAAGGUCUCUUAUGAAGCAGGAAGUUUAAGCUCAUCCCAAAUGAAUUUCCAAAGGUAGAAUUUCUUGUUCCCUGAGAAUUUCUUCUUCCAAAGGUAGCAUUACUAGUUUGGGUUGGAUAGCCGAAUCAUGAGAUUGAAAUGUUUGGAAAUCGGCUAUUGAAACUUCCUUUCCUCGUCUGGGAGAUGAUUCCUUCUCUAUCUCUAGGAUUUUUUUAUGAAGACUCAUGCAAGAAGGAUGUCCACGAAUGAAGACAUACCUUGCUUUAUUAACAGGUAAAGAAAGAAAAACUCUACCAAAGGUUAUAUGAUUAAGACCAAUGUGAAAAUAUUGAGGAAAAACAUGGUCUUGUAGGGCUAGGUUUAAACCAGAAUUUAUAGAAAGAUUAAAAGAUUCCCUAGGUGUAGCUAAAAGUUAAUUAUCUUCUUGAUUAAAAGAUAGGACCUCGGCUAUAGAAAAGGGUUGGUUUUGACCUAUUGCAAUCAACUCCGGACAGAGAUCAUAAUUAGGGGCAAAGAAAGGACUCGUUGUGUUGGUGCAAAAGCUGAUCUGCAAACACAAAGGGCUAAUACCCGAUUCAAACGUUAAGGCGUGCCAGCCGAUUGGACCUUACAAUCGACAAAGGUGGUAACUCGAACACUUUGGUCCCGACAACAGCGAUGCGCCCGGAUGUCACGACCAAGAGGUGCUCACGCGGAACUUGAGAACACGCCGAGUUUGACUCGACUAAUUCAUAAGAACUCAUAGUAAAAAGGAAAAUAUGACGAAGUCAUCAAAAAGUAGAUGCUGGAAUAUGAGUAAAACUUGUGUUUGAUUGAUUGAUAGAUAGAUGUCUCAUUACAUUGCCCUAGGGUCUACAUUUAUACCCUGUCCAAAGAGCUACAACUAGACACGACUAGGACUCAAAUUCCAUAUUAAACGGAAACCGUAUACAAAACGAAUUCUAAUAACUAAGGAAAAUAUUAAACUAGCCCCCGUAACUGAUCGGGACACCACCACGAAUCAAUUGGCAACUUCCACGCUUUCCUCCAGAGUCAUUGGCAGACUACCUGUUACGGCCAUCGGCAAAUACUGGCACUGGUCAUCGGCACGAAUAUACCAUCACUUCUGGACUUUGUCAUAUUCGGUUGCCUCCCCAUCGGCAACCACUUUCAUCGGCAACUUCGCUGCAGACUGGUCACCACUGCUCCAUCUGCUGAUCUACAUCUCGAUCAUUAACUCCAGAUGCGUAUCAAAAGAUACGUGUCCAAAAACGGUGUCAACACAUGCCCCCCAAUUUUGGAGUAUAAAAUCAUUAAUGCUUCGAAAUUCUCUGAAGUAAUGACGCCUUUCCGCAAUUAUUUCUCCCAAUUUGGUAAUCAGUCGCCAAAUCUAAACAACCUUGGCCCGAUUCUCCUGUAGAUUCUUCGAAUCUCUCCACUUUAUGCGCUCAUCGGCAAUAUUACCGUAAGAGAAAACUGCCGAUGGGCCGACCAGGCGAUCUUGUACAGUGAAAUAUCUUCAAAAUCAUAACCGCUUGCUGUUAAAUCACCUGCGCAAUCCCUUGAUUACCAUGCGAACAGUUACCAUAUCCACCUGAACACCCUCAGAUUUCACGGAUGCGGCAAAGAGAUAAGUCAGAUUUGCCCUUGCCCAUUUUGUCCUAUAAAUACUUUCUUCUCCGGUACUCCUUCUCCAUCUUAUCAUUCUACAGCCCAAAAUCCACUUUCCUGGCGGCGGCAUUGCCCGAGAGCUCCAAGAACUUCAGCAAGAGCCUCCUUCAUCAAUCCUCCAGGUCUUCGAUCCUCUUCCUCGUGAAGAAAUGGCCAUCAACUUCGUCGUUCCUCAGGUCAGUCUAUGAUCCUUUUUCUUUUCGCAUUUUUGCUGUACUCCUGUUCAUCCGCGAUUCCUUUUACUGAGUACCCCUUUUUUUCUUUUUGUUCUUUCAUCCUCAAAACUUUUAGGAUUUGGCCGAUAAGAUUGUAACUCCCAUUGAUCAACCUCACUUCCAAUGUCUCAGCCCGUUAGGAAAUCCAGAUCCCACCGAUCUAAUAAACACAGAGACAAAUAGAAUCCCCUUUAGACCCGAAAACUUGUCUUUGGAUCUGUGGAAAGAUGCUUUUCGUUCCUGGCCUAGCCCUACCAAGGGAUGGAAAGACUGGUUCUUGAGAGUCAUCCACUCAAAUGAUGUCCAGUGGGGUGAGCGGAAAUUAGACCAGUGCAUCAGAUUAUCCCUUGCCAAUAUGGAGAGAAACGAGUCACUACUCAUAGCUGCCUCGUAUUUUUGGUCAGACACGCUCAAUGCUUUUGUAUUCGGUCAGGCCCUGCUUCACCCACUCUUGCCGAUGUACUUAUGCUCACCGGCUUAGACAUAUCCACUGCCGAUAAUAGUCACAUGUUUGACACCAAGCCCAGUUCUAAAGUAGAAACUCACGCUAUCGGCGGUUGGUCUGGGUACAUUCAGAAGUACCGAAAGACAGGAUCUGUCAGGGAAAGGGAGCAGGCAAUUUUUUUGAACAUGAGGCUCGAUAAGUUUGUGUUCUGUGGCUGAUCGGCAGGACCAACCUCUGUCUAUCUAUCGGCAGCGGAAAGACUGGCCAAUGGUGGCCGAUUUCCUCUUGGCCGAUACUUGCUCGGCUCUAUUUACCACCUCCUCCACCAGGUAGCUAAGAAACUCCUGCUAGGCUAAUCCAUCGGCGACUUAGGGGGACCCUGGUGGUUCAUCAACAUGUGGCUUAGUGUCCACAUGCAUAAGCGCCUUGGAUUUGACCUCUUUGCACAGCGCUUCCCUAGAGAUAUAGCCAAAGACCAUGAGUUGGACGAAGAAGAAUCGGCAACUUGUUCCCCUCUGAACUAUGGUGAAGCUGCCAUAGUCUUACCUAGUACUGGAGGCAAUGAAGACCAGGUUAGCCGAUUUUUUCAGACUCUUUAUGAGGGUCUGGCUAGAGAGCAGUGAGCAUGGAUGCCUUAUGAGGAUCCAGACACCAGAUUCCCUCUGACCUUCCAUCCCUUUGACAAUGCUAUCAACAAGGACCAUGAUCUGAUGAUGGCAAAUAUCACUCCAAGAGCUAUACCAGUGAAUUUCUUUGGUAGUGGGAAAGCCUCCAAUCUGACUUAUGAGUUCUAUAACCCAUCGGCACUAGCUCGCCAACUAGCCUUUGGACAACUACUGAUUGCGCUCUGCUACGCCGAUGUGGUGAAACCAAGAGAAAUCAUAACCAGCGGUCUCGAGUGGAUCAGAAUAGCUCAACUUCCACCAAAUGCCGAUACAGACGUUGAUCUAUCGGCUAGGAUUCCGGCUCUCUUCAUCACCCAGGCAUACAAGCAGUGGUGGGAGGAAUAGAAAGAGCACCUGUUCUGCAGAUCGGCCCUCACGUAUUGCGGCAUGAUCGACCCCAAGUACAAAGUUCCCGAGAACACUGUAAGUUUCCAACCGAUGCUUCAAUUUUCUUAUAUUACUUUUAUUUUCAUCGGUAACUCACUUCCUCUCUUUUUAAUUAGAUCGAUGAUACACCACCGACAGUCAGCAGGAGCGGAAGGCAGAUCAAACUCCUUCCAUCGGGCGCGAUCUCUCUGAUCGGUAAUAAUGCGCCAAGCUUGGCGGCACCGGGGUGUACGUUUCAAGAAAAUCACCACCAGGCGAGCGAAGACAUCCCCAUCGGUAGCUGCUACUGCUUCGGCACAGGCUUUCAAGGUAAAUUCUUGACUUAUUCAACUUAUUCCGAUUCCAUUCCAUACUUACAUAAUCCUUUCAGGACACAUCGGCCACUAUGGGAACAUCAUCGGUAAUUUUACCAUUCCGACCAGAAUUUCAUCAACUCCUUAUCACGCUUGUACUUACGAAACUUUUGUUGUUGUAUCAGCAACCCGGCAAAUCAGUAAAGACCAGAGGUACCAACACAAGUGCCGAUGCCCCCCAUGCCAGUCAAGCUAAGAGAAAGGGUCCCAAGAGUACCAAGUCACAGGCAAAAUGUCAGAAAACAGCGCCACCUUCUUCUCCUCCCCUAGUGUCACUGAUUCACGUGGAAUCGUCCCCUUCUUCGCCAGAAGCUCAGACACAACAAGUACCAUCUCCACCUCAGCCACAAGAAGAACCUCAGCCAGAAGAACCUCAGCCAGAAGAACCUCAGUCAGAAGAGACAUCAGUCGAUGUACAUGAACAGACCGCCGAUCCAGUAGGUUUAAUCAUAGCAUUGGUGGUGUCCUCAAUUCAGACAAGCAUCGCAUCCCCUCAAGGUAAAAUACUAUCUAUGAAAUUAUUACCGAUGGACCUAUUUUUCCAUUUUACAGUUAUCCCUGUCAAUUUUUUAGCCGACAUCAUCCCAUCGGCAACUCCGGCCGAUCAACCUGUAGUACCAUCAGCCUCAACUAGCCAGAGGCGAGAGAUAGCUCUGAAACAAGUAAGCCAUUUGAUUAUCAUUCUUUAUUUUACUAAUAUUUCAUCAUCAAAUUGUAACACCCCAGUGUUAUGGUUGCAUCAAUCACAUGCAUAACAUGAGCAUCAUCAUCUACUCAAGCAUAUCAUGAUCAUCAUCUACCUUGAGCCAUGUCAUUUUAUGCUUUAGUGUGCUUUAACUUGCUUUAAUCAUGCUUCCUAUGCUUGUGUUUGUGUGAACCAUGCUCAUGCUUGUAUGCUAUGCCUUGGUAAAUAGUUUAACUAUGCUUAACUCAACCUUAGUAACAAUGUUCAUGUUGAUCACUUCUCCAAAAUAAUCUCUUAAGUCUUGCUUCCAUGUAUAUACCUAGAAACCCCUUUUGCUUGAGCUUUUAAAAAGUGUUUCAUAAAAUACUUGCAUGUCAAAACUUUCUACAGAAAAGUUGUAUAAAAUUUUAUAAGGAACAAAAGUUGUUUUGGGGCCAUCUCAUGAAAAUGAUCACAUCUAGCUCAAAAGUGACCCACAAGUCUAGGGACGUAGCAGUUUGCUCGAUCGAUUUUGAAAACCUCAUAUCUCUCAAUCCAGGCCGAUCUGGCUUUUGCUCUAGUUCACAAUGUUGUAGAACUCAGCUAGUACUCCAACUCUGUCAACUACACCAUCUCCUAACUUGCUUUGGUUUGGAAGUUAAUCAUUGUUGAUGUAGAUCUGUCAGUCGGUGAUCGCGUGGUCUGAUUCAGAGCCGAGCUCGCCGUCGUGGUCGCCCAGUGCGACACCUGGCUGCCAUUUGGUGCCUGUACGCCGGCGUUGGCCCCGCUCGUCAGGUCAUCGGCGUCGUCAUGGAUGCCACGACACUCCGCACUCGCUCAGCGCCCGUCUACUCUCUUCCUUCCUCUAUCUCUUGCGACUCCGUCGGCGACAGCGCCAUCGCCAUUGCCGCCGCGAGCAUCGCGAGCUCUUUGUGCCCUCGCCUCUGCAUCUUGCCUCGCCUCCGAGCAUAUCCAAGUCCGCCUCGAGCUCCUCCAUCUUUUCCACCCCUUGGCUGGACGAGAUCUCCCCGAGGUGAGCGACAUUUCGCGAGUUCGUCGUCGUCGGGUUCACGGCCGUCGCGACCCCGAUUCCGGCGAACCUCGUCGCUGCUCUGUUCUCGCCUCCUUUCUUCCCUCUGAGUCGCGUUAAGGUCUGCUUAGGUCUUGGUAUCGGUUCAUGUCACGCCAUUCCGGCUGAGGCACCACCGUCGUGCGGGAACACGGCCGCCGCACCGCCGUGCUCACCGCCGACGAGCACCUCGCACGUGAGCAGGCUCACCGGAGCCGUUAGGGUUAGGCGUUUCUACCUAGAAAGCUCUGCGCUGGUGCUUAAGCCGCUCUUUCCCGACGCUCUACCGGUCGGAGAUGGCCGGCGUAAGCCGGGGUAGCUCCGCUGUGCCGCCAUGGCUGACGGCGACCCCUCUCCGUCGCUGUAACCCUAGUGCCACCUACCUCCAUCGAUGCAGCGUCAGAGAAGCUCACCGUCGGCGAGCAUUCGCCGGCAAAGGUGUCCUCUGUUCUCUGGGUCGCUGACACGCGGGACCCACUGUCAGUGACUCAACGGUCUUCUCCUUUCUUUUAUUCAAAUCAAGAUUUUUGGUUUUCUUGCAAAAAUCAUAUCUUCUAUUUCUGAGAUCCAAAAAUUGUGAAACAAAUUUUGUGAUACUCUUUGAGAUGGCUAAUUUUUAUUAAAAUGUAAAAUGUACCAUUUUUUCUAGGAAAAAUAAUUGUUAUAAUUUAAUAUUGAUUACUUGAGUAUAAAUUCAUAUCUCUUGAUUUACUACUCCUUUUUCUAUGAAAUUUUUGUGGUAGUCUCUGAGUGUCAUUGGAAUGCUAUGAUAAAUAUUUCAUGAGAUUUGGAGUAAUGUAUAUGUGAUAUGUAAUUUAUGUUUGUGAUAUGGCAUGUUUUCUUAUUUAAAUCAUAAUAAAUAUUUGGUGCUUAUGCUGGUGCUCAAUUCUGGUAUCAAACUUGUUUAUGGUAAUAGAAACAUGUAAAUAAUCUGAAAUCUGUUGUUUGACACUAUCUAAACCAUGUUUCUUAAUUUAUGAAAUAAGCACCUUGUCACAUGUUAAAUGCUUAUCUUGAAUUUGGCAUGUGCAUUUGUUCUGAAACUUUUAUGGUGGUGUCAAGAUGCUUUGCUUGUGCUUGUGUAAUUUUUGUAGAUUUUUCUGAGCACUUCUGUUAGUAUCUUGUAAUUAUGUCCCUUUAUUUAAUUAAAUUAAUAAGAGCCAUGAUAUUAAAUGUUUAGGGGUUAACAUAUGAUAUUAUGGUCCUAUUAUGAUAUACUUGUGCUUGUAAGCCAUUUGGUUGGCACUGUUUAUGCUUUGGCUAUGUCAUUAAAUAAUUAAUUGAAGGCUUAUAGCUGUCCUGGACAGCAAGAGAGCAAUCUAACCUUUGCUUGAUGAUAAUUUGGUUUGCUGGAAGACUUGUCUAAAUCAAAGUUGUUGUAAACUUUAUGAACUAGCUGUGGUUUAAUUUUGGGAUCAUUUGGUCCAAUAGUUUAAAAGUUAUAGCUCUUCCAAGUUAGGUUCCAGAAAUAGGUGUUCUCUGUUUUUCUGGGACAGAACCUGGAACUUUGUUUAAAUGACUUGUUUAACUGAUGAAUCUUGCUAUGAUGUCUAAAGAUGAAAUGUUGAAAAUUUCAUAAGCUUUCCAGAAUGUCCUCAUUCAUGUUUGUUGGAUCUGUACAGCAGCAGUUAUGAUUUAUUUCUUGAGCUGCUCUGUUGUGAAAGGAUUUCUGUUUAUGGUUUGACUUGCUAGGUCUUGUUAAGUUAAUUAGUUAUUCUUUGUGAGGUUAUCUUGGAAGUUUAUUCAGUAAACGAGUGUCCAGUGAACUUCAAAUUACAUUGUCAAGCAUUCAUCCCCAUCUAGUAUGCACCCAUUCUUACUUAGCAUGCAUGCAAUAGGUGCACCGGAUGCGACAGCUUCCCUCGAGCUCCUAGUGAACCCCGAGGGCCAAGAGAUCAACCCGGAAGUGGAGGUCCAGCAAGCCGGACUCGAGGAGCCCGAAGAAGAGAUUGAGUGCCCGACACGAGCCUACAUCGUUCGUGAAAGGCAAGCCCCGGAGCAUCUUAAGUCUCCCACUUUAUUUUCGAAAAGCUUACUUGAUUAUGUUAUCCCUGCUUGACGUAUAGGAGUUGUGAUGACACCCUUGCUGCAUUUUACUCAUUCCUUGUCCAGAUAUCUUACCACCACUGGUUAUAGGGGUAGGAUCGAGUAGCAGCUUAGCCAUGCUUUAAUUGGUAGAAGUCGGGUGAUAUCCUGUCACCUGCGCAAGAUAGGGUUGUGUCGGAUCACGAUUGUCUAUAUGUGCUAUCGUGGAAGGAACCUGAGUAAAUUGACUUAAGCCGGGCGGAGUUUUGCAAGGUUGUAGUAACUCCGUCUGUGGCAGCUAAGGACCGAUCGUUGUACAUCCUCUUGUCAUGUUGAACGCAUGCCCAACACUUAGUUGGCUGGAUAACUCGUUCCGACCGCAAAGCCUAGUAGUAUGACUCAGGCCGGAAGACCGGCAAGUAUAAAGUGCGCACUACCGGAGGAAGUGCGGUGUGCGGGGCACCAUUGGCGUAAGAACAAAGGCAGGUGAGUUAAAAUUCCUGACCUCCCUGGCAGAGUGGUAGCCCUGGGAGUGCGGCGCUGAUCGGAGCCGCGAUUCCUGAGUCGUACCAAAGGUGAUCCGCUGGCUCUCCGAUGGGGGAUGCUUGGGUGAGUGCUAGGAAUAACCCUCCAGCUGGAUAGGAAUCGAUUCAAAUCGCCGUCUCUCCCGGAUAGUGAGAACUUGACAGAGCAGCGGAAACGUAGCAUCCACUAAAGAACAAUGGUUCGUGAUAAUGAUGAUAGCAAGGAAGAACACUUGAUGAACUUGAUAUGGUUAUUAGUGCUUGUAGUAAUCAAGUGAAGUGUUUUAGUACAGGUGCUAAUCUAGGGGUAGGCUAAUGAUGAUCAAUAUGAUGCUAAUACCAGUUGUUGGUAAUUAAUUAAGCUUUUGGCAAAGGUUGAGUCAAGCCAGCUACACUUAUUCUCAGACUUGCAUAAUUCUUGGUGUCUUUUAUGUUUUACUAGACACGUAAGUCUAGCUGAGUACAUCCUCGUACUCAGGGUUUAUUCCCACCUGUUGCAGAUGAUAUCUUUCAUGAUGGCUUCUGCAAGACCUAUCUCCAUCCCGCUGGGGAUGAAGACUAAACCGUUGGGCAUGGUUCUCUAACUACUUCGUAUCUGUUGCUUUUGGAUGGAUGGCAUGAGACCCUAGCAGGAACAAAAACUUGUGAAAUGAACUUUGGAAUGUGAGAUGUAAACUAUUUUGCUUCCGCUACAUCAAACAUGUGUUGUAAUAACUCAGUAACUCCGAUGUGGUGCCGCUUCGACGACAAUGAAUGACUUUGUAACAUUCGUUGUGUUAUGUUGAACUAUUACGAUCUUGGUUUGUUGCAAGUUGGUUUCAAGUCCUUCGUGAUUUUAGUUGACUACCGGGAUUAUAUGGGCUCAUGUUUGGAAACUUGAUUGCUAGUUGAUCGUUUCUACACUUGAUCUCUUAUAAUUUGGUCGGUUCUGUGACAGCUGGCAUUGGAGCAAGUUUAGUAUUAUAAAUGCAGCGUCUGUGUAUUUAAAAACAAAAGAGUUUCUAGAUAAAAAUUGUGAAAAUCAACACUUAAAUAUGCCAGUGGUUGAAUCCUCCUUGCCCAUAUAAGGACUAUAGGUGGCUAUUUAAGUACUGACUUGGGGGGUUUUAUUUAUGCAUCUCCGACAGUACUCAGGUAUGGAUGUGUGAUGACCGCACUAUGCUACCCUAUGGUCUAAUGGUAGAGGUAGCCUUCAUAUGUGAAUUAGCCACAUAUGUCACCAGAUUUAAAUUAUGCAACGUCGCACCUACGCUCUGGUAAGUGUGAGCUGUGAGAGCAUGAUCGUCCAAACGGCAGUCUAGGGGAGUGUUCGCGGUGGUUUUCUAGAGUGGUAACAUGUCUAACCAUGGAACCACGAAAGAAACUUAAUUGGGGAGCAUUUAAUUUCUCGCGUAGCUGUGGUGUCAUUGUUUGUGCAUGUUGGGCAUGUAUAAGCAAUGUGCACUUAGUUUACUGCUUUCUUGAGUGAUAUAUUGGGAAUUGUUGGGCUGCAGUGAAGUUUUCUGCAGGUACUCUAACAGCGCACGUGUAAAUCGCUAGUUAUCGUAUUGAGAGACGAAUGCAUGCCACCGUAUAUCCGUUAGAAUAUUUAUUUUCUAAGUUUGUGAGGACGUAUGGUUCAUGCAUGCAUCAUGUCGCAUUCAUAUAUACAUUCUGUCUACUCCUUCCCUUACAAUAUCGUCCCUUUUAAUUAAAGAAAUGUUGCUUAAACUAAUCCUCUUUUACCCACGGUUAUUCCUUUCCACGGAUGGACGUGCCCGCUUCACCUCGCCCCAGUGACACCUUUUUGAGCGAGUUUGGCACUCCUACCUUGCUCUGGAGGGUGCUACAGUUUGUGGGGUAUACUAAGCUACCUCAGUAUUCUUGGUGGGAGGUAGAUAUGAUAGGAGAGCUGCAGUGGUUUGCUAUGUAGGGAGUUGUCCCGCCACAUGGGGGCAGGCCUACAUGGACAGGGUGGACCUGCAACUCAGAUGGGCGGACUCCAUGGGAUGCAGCUCAGGUUGCAGCCCAUGCGAUGCUGCUCAACAUCUGUCAGAGGUUUGGCGAUGAGCUGACAGGAGGGCCAGCGGCCACCAUUCCCCGUGCUAACCCAGCAGCAGCGGAGUGGAAGCAGGCUGAUGGUUGUGCGUUGGUCCAAGGCCGAGGAAAGCGAGCUGAGAGUUCUAGUCCUGCUAUGAGUGCUAUGAUGGCUGUGCUCAAGCUGUUCUGAAGGGUCGAGAUGGCGGACUAGAGGGGGGGGUGAAUAGUCCUUUCUAAAACUUAUCGCGCCGGCUAACCGAAACAAAUGCGGAAUUAAAACUAUCGGUCUAGCCAAGACUACACCCCUCUAUCUAAGUUCUCUAGAACCUUGCAAAGAACCUAAACAAGCAAGCAAGGUGCUACCUUAGCAAGAGCUCACCUAACCAAUUCUAGGAGCAAGGUCACACAAACCUAUGCCACUAGUACUUUGCAAACCGGGGGAGCUCCUACACAAACUAGUGAGGCAAAGCGCACAAAGCCUAAGCUCACUAGCAAGCUCAAUAACAAGGCAACUAAUGCCAAAUUAGAGAGCGCAACUUACUUAGCUACACAAACUAAGCAAUGUGACUAACAAGGUUACACAAACCAAAUUAGUCACGCAAGGGAACUACUUCUAGCUACACAAGCAAGAAGGUAACUAGCAAGCUACACAAGCUAAGUAAUUACAAGAACAACUACACAAGAACAAGUAUACUAAAAGUAAAUACAAGCUUGUGUAAAGUGAAUGCAAACCACCGAGAAGAGUAGACAAUGUUGACACGGUGAUUUUUACCGAGGUUCACUUGCUUGCCACCAAGCUACGUCCUCGUUGUGGCGAUACACCCACUUGAUGGAUCACGAGCUAAUUGGCAUUCCAAAGCCAAACCCUCAGCGGGUGCCGCACAUCCACUCUCAAGAUGGGGAUCCUCCAAGCCACAACCAAUCCACUAGAGUUGCUCUUCGCGAUCCCCGCGGGGUGAGCACCGUAACCCUCACAAUAUCUUCUCCGGAGCACCGCACAAUCUCCUUGCGUGCUUCGACGGAGUCACAAGCCACCAAGCCGUCUAGGAGGUGGCAACCUCCAAGAGUAACAAGCACCACCGGCUUGCAACAUGAACACCUAGUGCCACUCGAUGCAAUCUCUCAAUGCAACGCACUAGAAUCGCUCACUCACACAAUCGGAUGAACACUAUCAAGCAUAUGUGAGUUAGAGGCUUCACUAGCACUCCCCAAGCAUGGACACUAAGUCCUAAGGGUGCUCAGCACUGGCCAAGGCCGGCCACAACUUCUAUUUAUAGCCCCAAGGGCUAAACUAGCCGUUACCCUUCACUGCGCAAAAGUCGACCACACCGGACGCGUCCUAGUUCACACCGGACGCGUCCGGUAUUGACUAGACCAGCGUCCGGUGCUCUUGACCGUUAGAAAACUAGCCGUUGCCUCUAACACUGACAGGGCACCGGACUCUAGCUUUUGAAAUACCGGACGCGUCCUAGUUCACACCGGACGCGUCCGGUGUGCACCGGACCCAAACUCAAAGAGCGUCGCAAACUUGAGUCAACACCGGUCGCCACACCGGACGCACACACCGGACGGUCCGGUGUGCACCGGACUCACACCCAGAGAGCUCUGCAAGAGGAGUUUGCACCGGACGCCAACUCGGACGCGUCCUGGUUCACACCGGACGCGUCCGGUGUGCACCGGACGAAAGCUCAGAGCGUUUCACCGAGAAACGAACUCACCGGACGAGGCACACCGGACUCUAUGCGAAAACUCUUUCCGCGUCCGGUGCCUCAACUCGGACAUGUCCGAACUCAUACCGGACGCGUCUGGCCUGAACGCGCUGCACGAAAAGAACUCCAACUUCUUCCCUUGCUUCCAUGUGCCAACACCAAAGUGUCUCCACACUUGUGCACGUGUGUUAGCAUUUUCUCAAACAUUUUUCCAAGGGAGUUAGCCUCUCAAUCUUGCCACGCCACUUGAUCCUAACACGUAUGCAAAGUUAGAUCGCUCAAGUGGCACUAGAUGACCGAUAUGCAAACAAGUUUGCCCCUCUUGAUAGUACGGCCAUCUAUCCUAAAUCCGGUCAUAAACUUCUACACACCUAUGACCGGUGAAAUGGAAAUGCCCUAGGUUAUACCUUUGCCUUGCGCUUUCCAUUCCAUCUUCUCCAAUGUUGAUGCAACACAUGCACCAACCAAUCACCAAAUGAUAUGAUUCACUUCAUAUCAUCACGUGACCAUAUUGGUUCAUCGAUCUUGACCUCACUUGCUCUUCACCGUUGCCUUGGUCCAUCGGUGCCAAGUCUUGCUCAAGCUUCACCGUCACACGCGGUCCCUCGCUUCAAAGCCUCCGACUUGCCCUUCACUCUUGCAACCGGUCCAUCAAGCCAAGCCUCAUCUUGAUCUUCUCCACCUUGGUCACAUGACUCCAUGUCAUGUCUCAUAUGCAAUGAGCUCCUUCAUCACAUCAUCACCUGUGGACUAAUCUCCUGUGUAUCUCACACAAACACUAUUAGUCCACCUAAGUUGUCACUCAAUUACCAAAACCAAACAAGGACCUUUCAAUCUCCCCCUUUUUGGUAAUUGAUGACAACUCUACAAAGAUAUGGAAAUUAAAGCUUUUUCAAGCUAGCACUUCACACAAGUGUAAAUUGCUAACUUGUUUUGGAUUUUAUGCUACUUAUCCAACAUUUUAAGCUCUAUGUCAAGAUUUGGAUAAGCACCAUAAAACCCUACUAAGUGCUAAGGUGUAUAGAAUAAACCUUUGUAGCUUGAUACCAAGUUCGAUAGCAUUUGAAGCAUUCAAUGUACACCAUCCUUAGCACCGUGAGUAGCUAGACAACAAAAACACUAGAAACCCCGUGAGAUCAACAUUAAAAGCAAGGGUCUAGUCUUUACUUGAAGAACACAAGUCUGGCUACCAACCUAUGCAUGCUAGUUAUCAUAUCAUCAAUCAAGUUCUAUAACUAGCAUACACCACACAAGCAUGCAUAUUUGAAUUUUAAAACUUAUGCAAUGCAAGCAAGCACAUGAGUAUGCACAUAUCAAAUGCAAACAAUCAAUGUUCAUGAGCUUGCUCCCCCUACUUGUGUGCUUCCCUUGUCCAAGACUUUUGAUCCAACUCUUUUCCUUAAUGUUGCUCCCUUGUCCAUGUCCAUCUUUGAUUUUUCCCCUUUGGAACAUAUCUUUUGUUGUCUAACUUAUCCCAUGAUCAUAUCUUUGUGACAACUUCUCCCCCUUUGUCAUCAAUUUCCAUAAAAGGUAUGUGAUACCAAUUAAAUCACUUGAUACCAAUUGUAAAAAUGUGAAUCUCAUUGUGACAAAGGAUCGCAUUGGGAUAGAUGGUUGAGGCUUGAAUCUUGUAUUUUUGAUCGACAUCACCAUAUGUGUUGGAAUGACAUUACUUGAAUUGCUCUUGAGAUACCACUUAGGACCUUUGACCUUGAUACCAUUUGGUGGGACACUCCCCCUAUGUCAUAGCAUGGGUCAUUCACUUGUCAAUCUUGUUGGUGAGGGAACUUUCUUUGCUUGAUGAUCACUUAAAGUUGAGGAUCACUUGUGGAACCACCUUCUUGUAUGAUAGAUACCAUAUGUAUAAAUGUGAUAUCACUUGAAAUAUCUUGUCCGAUACCAUAUGGGAUUCUUCUACCAAUUAAGGUCUUCUAGUAUGGAACCACUUGUUUGCUUUCUUGAACAUUUGCUAUCAACAUGAGUACCAUUUAUUGGAUACCAAUUAAAGAAACAUUUGAAUUUAUAUAUCCAUUUGCAUUGUUGUCUUGUUCUUGUACUCUAAUCUUCAUGAGCUUCUAAUUGUUGACUUGAACUAGGUUGAUUUGCCUAAGCUUCCAAGUCCGGUUUGAACCAAUGACAAGCUUCUUCACACCUCUCAUUAAGGGUUAUCUUGCCAAUGUUGUACUUGUCACUUGUUAACAAACCAAAAUAGAUCAAGUACUUGGGUUUACUAGCUCACGAAUAAACUCAUAUACAUACCACUAGAUCAACUAAGCAUUCAAGCAAUAGUGGUAGGCUAUGAAUUUAAAACAUUUCAUUUGUCAUGCAUGAUCCUAUGAAGCAUGUACUAUAUGCACUAACCGCAUACUAGUAAAGGAUGAAAUGAUCAUGCACAUUACAAUGAUACCUUUGCUAUCUUGGAGUAGAGGAUAGUCAAUAAGAUUCCAAUUUAGCUCCAAAUAGCAAUGUGAAGUCGAACUAUAAGCUUGGUGAAGACCAAUCAUGAAUGCCAAUUGAUAGAUCAAAUCUUCACCCAUAUGAAUUUAGAACCACUUUAUGAUCAAGUGCACUAUCUUGUUGUGGUUGGCUUGCUUCUUCUUUUGACCAUUGCUUGCAUGAGAGAACUAAUAAGAAUACCACUUGAACAUCAUGACUAGCUCUCUUUUGGGUGUUGCUUGCUCUCUUGAUCAAUCCUUUUGAUUGCUUCAACUAAGCAUCUCAAAUGUCCUUUAGAUCACCACUUCCAUGUUAGCCUUCCAAGCACCACACUUGGUUUACCCACUCCUCGGGCGGCACGCCCCUCACAUAGGGAGAAGUGACCUCUCUCCAAAAAAUCAUUCUUGAUACUCACUUGAAUUACUUUGAUUGAUUGAUUCAAGUGAUGGACUUAACAUGAUGAGUAACCAUGAAUUCCUGUUUAAGUCCUUCUUUUUUUUUACUUGUUUAAGUCCUUUUCUUUCUACCAAAUGAUCUCCAAUAGUCACUAGAACUUAAACUUCAACUUCAUCUUGAGUUUGAUCUUGAUCUUCAAUUUGAGUACUGAAUGUGUACACCAAGUACAUUCCUCAAUCAAAUGACCUCGUACUCAUUACUUGUCAUGCUUCUAGAUCAAUUCAAAACCAAACUCAGGUGCCUCAAAUACUUAUAAUCAUAUUCCCAACUUGAGCACCUUUCAAUUGAAGUGACUCUAGAUCAAUCCAAUAAUUGUCACUUUUCUGGCAGAUUCUGUACCUUUCAAAGAAUAACUUAUAUCUCACAAUGUACAGAUCCAAAUACUACUAAAUUUGGUGGAGAUGUGCUUUACUGAGUCAUCUAGCAGCUGUAAAAAUUUGAGAUUUAUUUGACUUCUAGAUUGCUACCAGAUUUCAAUUCUUCCACCACUGUACAUGCUGAAAACUGCUGCAUAAUAGCUGAUAAGAUCCACUCCAAAACCGAAGUAUUCUUUAUCCAAUUUCCAUGAAAUUUCUACAGCACUUUCUAUCAUAAGUGUACAGAAUGCACACCAAAUUUCAAGCCAUACCAAAUAGAUUUGAUCACUCAAACUCAGACUUGAUCACUGCUAGCUCAGUUUUUCAAUAUUGGACAGAUUUCAAGCAAUUGAGCUAUGCUUCUUUAAAUUGAAUCAAACUUGAAAGAGACUUGUUUGAACACUUUCACAAGAUGUAUAUCCAUUCAAUCCACUUACUAAAAGUCAUAUCAUGAACUUAUUCAACUCAAAUCAAUCCAAACUUGAUUACUAAUCAUUUAAUCCAUUCAAACAUCUUAGAGCAAGCAAUAUUGCAUAUAUAUCCAAUUCAAUCAACUUAUAUGCACCUAAAUGAAUGUGAUCAACAAAGAUAUACCUUGGUUAGCUCAUGAUCAUCUAAUUUGCAAGCUUCAACUUUUGUAAUUGCAAGCCAUCAAAUAAUCCAAUAAAUCACCAUAACUUGAAUAUGACACUUGUAUGUUGUAGCACAUUUGGACUUCACUAUCUUGUCUUGGCAUUGGGAUGAGAUAAGCACUAAGCUUCAAUACUUGACUCAAUCAUAUGAUGAAUAAUAUAAGAUCAAUUGAAUCAAGUCUCCAAUGCCGAUGGUACCUACACACAAUCAUCCACUUUUUGAUGGUACCCAAACUAGUUUGGGUCCUCUCAAGUUAGGUGCAACAUACUUAGGCAUAGCCUUAGUAUGAGUAGCGGGAUGUUUAGCAAUAGCAACCAUAGAGGUACCAUUACCAUCCUUUCUAAGCAUAGUAUUAUCAUCAAUUGAAAUAGGCUUAGAAUUAUUACCUAGGGGACAUGAAUAAGCCAUGUGUCCCCUUUUCCGGCACAAGUAGCAACUUCUCUUUGAUUGAGCCUUUUCUUCCUUGCUCAUGUGUUGCUUCUCAUUGCCUUGCCUCUUGAGAGUUGCUUGAGCCUUCUUCUCAAGCUUGGUAGGACACCUCGAGGCAAAGUGUCCAUCAUUCUUGCACUCAAAGCAUUUGAUGUGAGAGAGGUCUUUUGAUGAUCUUGAUUGUCUACCUCCCCUUCUUGUCUUCUUCUUCAUCAUCCCCAUGUCACCACCAUCUUCAUGGUAGAUCUUGACUUGAGCUUGGGGCUUCUUUUCUUGCUCAACUUGUGGCUUUUGUUGAGGCUUCGCUUGAUGCUUCACCAAUUGCUUGGUUGGGCACAUUGAGGUGAGAUGACCCCAAGUGCGGCACUUGAAGCACUUGACAUGCUUUAGCCUCUCUUCUUUCAUCUUCUUGAGCUUCUCUUUGUUUGGGCAACCAUUUGCAAGAUGUCCCACUUCAUGGCACCGAUAGCACAUGAAAUGAGAAAGCUUUCUCUUUUUAUUUUGCCCUUUGUCAUCUUUUCCUUGAAGCCAAGGCCACACUUGUCACCAUAGUUUCUUUGAGUCUUCAAUAUGUGCUCAAAGGUGACUUUUGAGUAGUAGCACCUCUCCAACUUGUUGCUCAAGAUCUUCACUUGUUCAUUAAGCUUAUUGUUCUCCUUCAAAAGGUUAGUCUCACAAGACAUAGAAGUAGAACAAGCAUCUAUAUGUGAAGAACAUGGCAUAGAUAAUAAAUCAUCACAAGAGGUGGAUACAUGCUUCUUUCCUACAUCACAAGGGUUAGUAAUAUCACAUGAUUGAUCAUUUGACUCAAAUGAUGAGCUCUCACUAGUUUUAAUUUCUUUAUUAGAAAGCUUCUUAGUGAGAAAAGCAUGGUCUAAUACCAAAUUAUCAUGAGCAACACUAAGUUCUUCAUGAGCCAUUUUUAGCUCCUCAUGUGAACAAGUAGUAACAUAAAGUAGAUGUUUUUGUUGUUCACAUGUGGUCUUUAGAAAUGAGUUUUCAUUUUGCAAUUUCAAUGUUUUAGCUUUUUCAUUUCCUAAAGACAUGGUCAUGCUAGCAAGUCUACUAACAAGCUCAUCAUAUGAGACAACAUGAUCAACCACAUUAGCAUUAUAUACCUUGGUGUCACCUUGUGACACGAAGCUAUGUGGUGUAGUGGAUGGGCUUGUAGUAGCAUCAUAAUCAAGGCUUGAGCAUGAACCAUCACCUUCACCAUCAAGUGUACAUGGAGUAGUAUCAUUAUUUGUAUCACUUGUGGCAUCAUCAUCAAUCUUGUCAAGUGAGCUUGUGGUAGACCGAUCAUCAUCAUCACUUGACCAUGAGGUGGAGCAAUCCUCCACAACCACGGUGUUGUGGUCAUGCUCAACAUCCUCAUGUGCCUCCACCUUUGGCACAUCAUCAUCAUCAUCAUCGGAGAUUGCCCCAUAUUUCUCAUUGAGAAAUACCCAAAUCUCAUGGGCGGUCUUCAUGUCAAUGAUCUCUCCGAAUAUGCAAUCAUCCAAAGAUCUAUACAUGAUGUUAGUAGCUUGGAUGUCUAGAUCUAGGCAUUUCUCUUGUGCUUGAGUUAGAUCAUUUUCAUCCAACACAUGAGAAAAGCCUACAUCUACCAUCCACCACAUUUGAGGAGAAAUAAACAUAAAAUUGCAUUGCAUCCAAUUUCUCCACCGUGCAAAGUGUGUGCCAUCAAAAGAGUGUGGACACUCAACAUCUAGCCCAUAAGCCGCCAUCCUCUCGGGUCGGUGAAGACCACAAAUGAUAGACCUAGCUUUGAUACCAAUUGAAGGGUCGAGAUGGCGGACUAGAGGGGGGGGUGAAUAGUCCUUUCUAAAACUUAUCGCGCCGGCUAACCGAAACAAAUGCGGAAUUAAAACUAUCGGUCUAGCCAAGACUACACCCCUCUAUCUAAGUUCUCUAGCACCUUGCAAAGAACAUAAACAAGCAAGCAAGGUGCUACCUUAGCAAGAGCUCACCUAACCAAUCCUAGGAGCAAGGUCACACAAACCUAUGCCACUAGUACUUUGCAAACCGGGGGAGCUCCUACACAAACUAGUGAGGCAAAGCGCACAAAGCCUAAGCUCACUAGCAAGCUCAAUAACAAGGCAACUAAUGCCAAAUUAGAGAGUGCAACUUAAUUAGCUACACAAACUAAGCAAUGUGACUAACAAGGUUACACAAACCAAAUUAGUCAUGCAAGGGAACUACUUCUAGCUACACAAGCAAGAAGGUAACUAGCAAGCUACACAAGCUAACUAAUUACAAGAACAACUACACAAGAACAAGUAUACUAAAAGUAAAUACAAGCUUGUGUAAAGUGAAUGCAAACCACCGAGAAGAGUAGACAAUGUUGACACGGUGAUUUUUACCGAGGUUCACUUGGUUGCCACCAAGCUACGUCCUCGUUGUGGCGAUACACCCACUUGAUGGAUCACGAGCUAAUUGGCAUUCCAAAGCCAAACCCUCAGCGGGUGCCGCACAUCCACUCUCAAGAUGGGGAUCCUCCAAGCCACAAGCAAUCCACUAGAGUUGCUCCUCGCGAUCCCCGCGGGGUGAGCACCGUACCCCUCACAAUAUCUUCUCCGGAGCACCGCACAAUCUCCUUGCGUGCUUCGACGGAGUCACAAGCCACCAAGCAGUCUAGGAGGUGGCAACCUCCAAGAGUAACAAGCACCACCGGCUUGCAACACGAACAUCUAGUGCCACUCGAUGCAAUCUCUCAAUGCAACGCACUAGAAUCGCUCACUCACACAAUCGGAUGAACACUAUCAAGCAUAUGUGAGUUAGAGGCUUCACUAGCACUCCCCAAGCAUGGACACUAAGUCCUAAGGGUCCUCAGCACCGGCCAAGGCCGGCCACAACUUCUAUUUAUAGCCCCAAGGGCUAAACUAGCCGUUACCCUUCACUGCGCAAAAGUCGACCACACCGGACGCGUCCUAGUUCACACCGGACGCGUCUGGUAUUGACCAGACCAGCGUCCGGUGCUCUUGACCGUUAGAAAACUAGCCGUUGCCUCUAACACUGACAGGGCACCGGACUCUAGCUUUUGAAAUACCGGACGCGUCCUAGUUCACACCGGACGCGUCCGGUGUGCACCGGACCCAAACUCAGAGAGCGUCGCAAACUUGAGUCAACACCGGUCGCCACACCGGACGCACACACCGGAUGGUCCGGUGUGCACCAGACUCACACCCAGAGAGCUCUGCAAGAGGAGUUUGCACCGGACGCCAACUCGAACGCGUCCUAGUUCACACCGGACGCGUCCGGUGUGCACCGGACGAAAACUCAGAGAGUUUCACCGAGAAACGAACUCACCGGACGAGGCACACCGGACUCUAUGCGAAAACUGUUUCCGCGUCUGGUGCCUCCACUCGGACGCGUCCGACCUCAUACCGGACGCGUCCGGCCUGAACGCGCUGCACGAAAAGAACUCCAACUUCUUCCCUUGCUUCCAUGUGCCAACACCAAAGUGUCUUCACACUUGUGCACGUGUGUUAGCAUUUUCUCAAACAUUUUUCCAAGGGAGUUAGCCUCUCAAUCUUGCCACGCCACUUGAUCCUAACAUGUAUGCAAAGUUAGAUCGCUCAAGUGGCACUAGAUGACCGAUAUGCAAACAAGUUUGCCCCUCUUGAUAGUACGACCAUCUAUCCUAAAUCCGGUCAUAAACUUCUCUACACACCUAUGACCGGUGAAAUGGAAAUGCCCUAGGUUAUACCUUUGCCUUGCGCUUUCCAUUCCAUCUUCUCCAAUGUUGAUGCAACACAUGCACCAACCAAUCACCAAAUGAUAUGAUUCACUUCAUAUCAUCACGUGACCAUAUUGGUUCAUCGAUCUUGACCUCACUUGCUCUUCACCGUUGCCUUGGUCCAUCGGCGCCAAGUCUUGCUCAAGCUUCACCGUCACACGCGGUCCCUCGCUUCAAAGCCUCCGACUUGCCCUUCACUCUUGCAACCGGUCCAUCAAGCCAAGCCUCAUCUUGAUCUUCUCCACCUUGGUCACAUGACUCCAUGUCAUGUCUCAUAUGCAAUGAGCUCCUUCAUCACAUCAUCACCUGUGGACUAAUCUCCUGUGUAUCUCACACAAACACUAUUAGUCCACCUAAGUUGUCACUCAAUUACCAAAACCAAACAAGGACCUUUCAUGUUCAGACAGCGAGAGGACACCUAUGCACAGAUGAUGGUGGCUGUUCGCCAGGCUCAGGACACCUAUGCACAGCGAGAGUUCAGACAGCGAGAGGACACCUAUGCACAGAAGGCUGAAAAGCGUGCUCGCAAGUUUCGCAAGCAAACCAGACUCCUGGAGCAAGCCCAGAAGGACCGCAAUGACUGGAAAGACAUUGCGGAGUACCAUAGGCAGCAGUGGGUGAAGUCCAUUAGAGAGAGAGAUCACAAGCAGGAUCAAAUGAGUCAGUUGGCUAGGGAGAGGGAGACAGUGCAGGAGCGUUUGGUGCAGAUCACUCGUGAGAGGGAUACUGCGCUCCGUGUGUCGGAGAACAGGCGCCGGGCAUGGGAGAUGCACCGGAUUCAGUCGCUUGAGCGGGAGAACUAUCUGCAGGAUCAGAUUGAGGCUGGUCUUGUGGAGAUUCACCGUCUCAACAACUUUCUACACCCUAUUCCUCGCCCUAUACCUGUGUACCCGGAGGUGGGACCUUAGGUGAUUGUGGCUGAUGAUGAUGGUAUGGAGGUAGAUGGACCAGCAGCAGCUGCACCACCCUUGCACGAGGACGUGGAGGACGAGGAGCUUGAGCCGGUUAGCGACGAGGAUGGAGAGGCGAUCUUCGACGCUGACUCGGACGACGAGCCUGGAGUGUAGUGGGUAGUUGUUAUGUGAGGAUCUUUUGUAGUAUGACUUUUAGCAGUUGUGCUUUUGUAAUCAUGUUGUAAUCCGGAACCUUGAUCUUUGACUUAUGUCAUGUACUGGGAUGGUGUAAUAAGUUUAUGGACCCAAUGUGUUAACUUUAUCAUGUUCGAUCAGUUGUGACGAUGUUUGUCCGUUGUUGUGCAUAUUGCGGAUAUCUGUGUCAUGUGUUGGAUUGGUGAUGUUGUUUUGUGGAAUUGAAUUAUUGUGCCUUUUCUAUAAAGUCGUUCUCUCGAAUACUUUUAGGAAUGAAUAUAAGUUCUUCUACGGCAAAUCUUCUCAUCAUCAAUGCUCACUAACUAUGUCUUUACAAAUGUCUCGUGGCACUCGAGGCGCGGAACAACGUGUGAACAUGAACCCACCCCCUCCUCCUCCACCACCAAAUCCAGCUAAGCUGAUGCAAAUCAUGGUAGAAAAUCAGAGGAUGCUUACUGAGACCAUCAAUCGGAUGACAAAUUAGGGUGGUCGGAAAACACAGGAUGAGCCAGCACCCAACCAGUACAGUAGCUUCAAGGAUUUCAUGGAUACUAAGCCCCCAUCUUUCAAAGAGGCUGAAGAACCCCUUCAAGCUGUGGAGUGGUUGAACACGGUGGAACAGAAGUUCCGCUUGUUUCGGCCGACUGAGGGUUUGAAGGCUGAGUAUGCAGCUCACCAACUGUAGGGAAUCAGUAUCGGGAGGCUCUCCCAGACAAUACUGUGCUUGACUGGAAUCUUUUCCGUGAAGCUUUCAAGGGGCAUUUCAUACCUCCUGGUGUUAUGGAGAUGAAGCACACUGAGUUCAUGCAGUUAACUCAGGGAAACAAAACUCUGAAGGAGUAUUUGCAUGCUUUCAAUCAUCUGUCUAGGUAUGCUCCGGAGUUUGUGAACACGGAGGCGAAGAAGAUUGCUAGCCUCAAGCGGGGUCUUGGCUCCAAGUUGCUGAAGACUAUGGGUCGCACUAAGUGUACGACUUUCAAUGAGUUUGUCAGUGAUGCUCUCACCCAAGAGAACUACAACACUGUGUACACUGCAACCAAGACUCGCAAGAGGGCUUUUGAAGCCGGGGCAGGGGCAUCUCAGUCCAAGGCUCCAGUGGCGGCUAGGCCACAGUAUCGUGCUCCAACUCCUAACCAGCGAUAUCGCCCUCCAGCAAAGAAGAAUCAGGCGAAGACGGGUUUCCGCAAGGGUUACUCUAUUGCUCUUCCUAGGGGCAACACGGGUCCCAGCUAUGCCAAGACUCCACCUGCCAACCGUCCGUGCUGGAACUGUAAUCAAACCGGGCACUGGCAAAGCAACUGUCCCUACCCACCAAAGAAGUGCAACCAAGGGAACGUCCGCCAGGGGCGUGUUCACUACACAACUGUGGAAGCAUUCCCUGCUGGUGAGGUACUUACGGCUGGUAAGUUUCUGGUCAAUCAAUGUGAUGCACUUGUGCUUUUUGAUUCAGGAGCAUCGCAUUCUUUUGUGAGUUCGGACUUUGUGUCUAAGCAUAAUCUCAAGGCAAUUACACUUGAUAAGGGCAGUUAUUGCAUUAGUGCUGCUGGAAAUGAUAUUUCUACCAACCAAGUGGUUUUGGGGGCAACUCUGGAAUUAGGAGACCGUUAGUUUCUUGCUGAUUUGGUUGUUCUACCCGGUGUGGGUAUAGAUGUAAUUCUAGGUAUGAAGUGGAUGAGUGGCAACGGAGUUCUUAUCGACACCACCACUGGGGUAGUGAUGUUGAGAGACCCGAAUACCAAAGAGGCAUUCUUAGUGCAACUUCCUCGAGAUAUUCAUAUCCGUAGCACGAUGAAUGCAGUUACAUCUAGGGCCAUCAAGGAUAUUACGGUUGUGUGUGAGUUCCCAGAUGUAUUCCCUGAUGAUUUGCUCGAGCUUCCUCUAGAUCGGGAUGUGGAGUUCAAAAUUGAAUUGAUCCCAGGUACUGCUCCUAUCUCUAGAAGACCCUACAGAAUGCCACCAAAUGAGCUAGCUGAGCUUAAGACCCAACUGAAUGAGUUGUUAAAGAAGGGUCUUAUCCGUCCUAGGUCUUCUCCUUGGGGUUGUCCGGCUAUCUUUGUGAAUAAGAAGGAUCAGUCCUUGCGCAUGUGUGUGGACUAUCGUCCUCUGAAUGCGGUGACCAUCAAGAAUAAAUACCCUCUUCCUCGCAUUGAUAUCCUGUUUGACCAGUUGUCUAAAGCCAAGGUAUUCUCCAAGGUUGAUUUACGAUCUAGGUACCAUCAGAUCAAGAUCCGUCCUGAAGAUGUACCUAAGACAGCUUUCUCGACAAGGUAUGGGUUGUAUGAGUAUCUCGUCAUGUCCUUCGGUCUCAUGAAUGCACCUGCUCACUUCAUGUAUCUCAUGAAUUCGGUGUUUAUGCCUGAAUUAGACAAGUUUGUGGUGGUCUUCAUUGAUGAUAUCUUGGUAUAUUCCCGUAAUGAAGAAGAGCAUGCAGAGCAUCUGCGUAUAGUGUUGUCGCGCUUGCGUGAGCAUCAGCUUUAUGCUAAGUUCAGCAAAUGCGAGUUUUGGCUGAAGAAAGUACCUUUCUUGGGCCAUGUCUUGUCUGAAGAAGGUAUCUCGGUGGAUCCGGCUAAGGUGCAAGAAGUGCUGGAUUGGAAAGUUCCAACUUCGGUGCACGAGGUCCGGAGUUUUCUCGAUAUGGCUGGGUAUUAUCGUCGAUUCAUUUCGGAAUUCUCAAAAAUAUCCAAGCAUAUGACUCGCCUACUUCCGAAAGAUGAGAAGUUUGUGUGGACGCCUGAGUGUGAAGAGGCAUUCCACAAGUUGAGGACAUUGCUGACAUCAGCUCCUGUUCUAGCUCAGCCUGAUAUUGAGAAGCCCUUCGAUGUCUUUUGUGACGCGUCGGGUAUUGGUUUGGGCUGCGUGUUGAUGCAAGAAGGUCGCGUUAUCGCAUAUGCCUCACGCCAACUUAGAAAACAUGAGGUCAAUGUUGACGGUCCUUAAGUAUCAAAUUUAAUUGUCAAAUAAACAAAGAAAAGGAUCCAAAUGAAAUCAACAUCUAGACUUAGGGUUUAUCUGAUAGAAUUCCACGAGUUUUGGUGUUUGUCUAUUUCUGCAGGGGGUUAUCAGGAAAUACGGAAGAAAGGCCCACACGUCAGGAUUACAUAGAGAUAUUAACGUGCCGCGCAAUUAUCUUACAUCUAGAAGACUCCAGAAGCCACGGGAAGGAAGCGGAGGCCGAACGGGGCCAGGCACUGGGCGCCCGCCCAGUUGCCCUGGGCGCCCGCCCCCUCUCUGAGUCCAAUCAAGACUCUCUCUUGGGACUAAUCUCCACCGACCUAAAGGAUCAAGGAUAAUCGUUCAAUCUAUGUCGGUUUGAUCCAACGGCCUAUAUUCACUUGAAGGGACUAUAAAACCAGACCCCUUGGCCCCUGGAGGAGAGAGCCUCUCAACCCUAAUUCAUUAUUCUCAAGGGAGAAGAAGCCUCUGAUCAAGAUUAGAGCCACCACAUCAAUUAGAUCUCUAGAUUAGCAUAGCUACAUAUGAUUAGAACUAGAAGGAGUCAAUCUUCGAUUGGUUUCCAGAUCUGUCAAGAGGAUUCUUGGUAAUUCUUUAAUUGUGAUUCUAAUUGAUUUUCUAAUCAUCUUGGUUCUUCAAUAUUAUGAAUAUGACUUUGUUUUACUUCAAUAUAUUGCUUAUGACUUUGCUCUACUUGCUUAUAUUCAAGAUUAUAUUGUUCUUAGUUCAUCAUAGUUAUGUACUUGGCUUAGUUAGAUUGGAUCUAUAUACAUGCUUAGGAUCGUAUAGAGUUUAUCCAUCGGAUCCAUGGGUAAAUGAUAGAUAUUGUGUAGGCGUGGUGCUUAUACCGUAUUUAUCUGCAAUUGUACCCAAUAUGCCAGAUCGUGGGGUAGUUCGUGAUAGUGACAGCUUCAUUGAUUCUUAUAUAGUCCCCCUCUCGUGUAUUGGGCUGGCAGAGCAAUAUUAUUACAGGGGAGUGAUUGCUAUGUUUCUCAUUUACCUUGCUAAUAUCACUAUGCAUGGGCGUAGUCUUGUCUCGCAAUGAUUGCUAAGUAUACUUGCACUAACUAUGAUAAUGCUAGACUAUAUAGUUGAGAAUAACUUAGGGAAUAUUCUUGUAGUUCGUUCUAAUACAAUGCACUAACUAUCAGAUUAAUUAUCUUUGUCACUAUUCAUUACUUCAUAUACCUUUUAUGUUACAGUUACCCCUGUAUGAAAGAGUUAGAUAAAUGUUCUCAAUUAUACAUGCAAUGAUAGAUACUAAAUCUCAUAUUCUAUUUUGUAAUCAAUAUUGAUGAUUGUUAAUCCCUUCCCGGUGGUAAAAAUAUAAAUAACGAUACCUGGAAUACUUCCCGGUUAAAAUGCUACAUCGGUAUUAAUCUGUGCACUUGCAUAUCUCAUUCAUUAUUUAUUUAGAAGAGCAAUUGCAUAUUUCAAUACCGCGUCUCUCAUAUCAUGCUAGGGAUGACAACUUGGCUUAAGUGGUGUGAGGGAUUGGUUUGGCAUUUUUGGCACCAUUACUAGAAUUAGAAAACUGUGUACUUUUGGUAAUGAUGUUAAGAAUACCCAACAGACAUUUUUGGCGCCGUUGCCGGGGAAGGUUGAUUACUAAUCAGGAAUGAAUAUAGGAUUUUGAGUUAUCAUUCGCAUCACUAAUAUGAUUGAGCUUAUUAAUUCUCUCAUACAGUUUUACCCCGAUAUUUUCCUAUUUUAUCUUAUGCAGAGGAAUGUAUGAAUAGAAGACAUCUUCUAGGAAAUUUUGUUGACAAUCCCGAAGCGUUAUUUAGAAAAACGAGAGCCAAGCUCAAGAAGAGAUCAUCAACACUUCGGCAAGAAGCUUCAUCCAAUCAAGAAGAUCACCGAAACUUUUCUUCAGAGUUAGAAGCUAUGGCGAAGAAACUGAUCCGUGAGUUCUCAGCUCCCACUACAGACAACAUCCGCACUGGACCUGCUGCAGAGAUCGAUGGCAACUUUGAGCUCAAGCCUGGACUAAUCAACAUGGUGCAAUCCAACCAGUUCUGUGGGAAGGCACACGAAGAUGCUAGUGCUCAUCUCCAACACUUCCUGUAGAUUUGCAACACAUUUACCAUAUCAGGAGUCCCCAGAGAUGCUAUACUACUUUGCCUCUUCCCAUUCUCACUGUUAGGGAUAGCGAAGCAGUGGUUCUACGCUACAAAGGAGAAGAAUACUACGUGGGCCCUUUGCUCAACAAACUUCCUGGCUAAGUUCUUUCCCAUGGGCAAGACCAAUGCUCUCCGUGGGAAGAUUACAAGUUUUCAGCAAUAAAAUGAUGAAUUUGUUCUAGAAGCAUGGGAGCGCUUCCAAGACUACAUCCUAGAAUGUCCCCAUCAUGGAAUGGAGAGCUGGCUACUAAUGCAGAAGUUUUAUCAUGGGCUCGGCAACAGUGCCCGAGAGACCAUGGAUGCUGCAGCUGGAGGAGCAUUUUUAUCACUUACCAUACCACAAGCCACCGUUCUUGUGGAGAAGAUGGCGUCCAACCAAAGCUGGAAUGAAGAGAGAACCCAGACACGCAAGAAAGGUGGAGGUAUGCAUCAGCUCAAGGAGGUAGACAUGCUGUCUGCAAAGCUAGACCUGCUCAUGAAGAAGCUCGACGAUAGAGCUGGAGACAAGAAAGAAGUUAUGCACAUCUAUGACUCUCACAUGACUUGUGAGGAGUGUGGAGAUACUGGACACUCAGGCAAUCACUGCCCUGAGAUACUUGAGGAUGUGAACUACAUCAACAACAACAACUACUACUACUACAAUCAUCCUCAACAAAAUCAAGGUUGGAAUCAACAGAGGCCUAACUACUCAGGUAAUUAUCAAGGUAACAAUUCUUACAAUAAUACUAAUAAUUUUCCACCUUUGAGAGAGUUAGUGUCUAAUCAAGGAAAGCUAAUGCAUAACCUAUCUAAGAAAUUGGCAUUUAAUGAUAAAAUGCUAGAAAAUAUAAAUAAUAGAAUGGAUAAUUUCUCUACUGCCAUCAAGAAUCAAAUUAGCUUUAAUAAAAUGAUUGAAUCUCAGUUAAAUCAAAUAGCUGCUGCUGUUCCUACUACUAACCCCGGUAUACCAUCACAACCGGAAGGAUUAGAAUCUGCAAAUCUUGUAGACAUGUUUGAUGCAGGUAAUUGGAGUAACACCGUCACUGAAGUUACUACUGACCUUCUGCCGGUCAAGAGAGGUGAUCCAGGACGCCCCGUCAUCCCGAUCUCCAUCGGCAUGGUGGACGUCACAGAAGCACUCUGCGACUUUGGUUCUAGCGUAACCAUUAUACCUAGGGUACUCUAUGAAAAAUUCUUUACAUAUCCUUUAUUAGAGACAACCAUGUGUUUGCAGUUUGCAGAUCAGGCAUUAAGUUUUCCAAAAGCAAUAUUGAAGAACCUUUGUGUCCGAGUUGGUACCUUGUAUGCCCUAGCUGACUUCGUAGUGAUAGAGACCGGUAAUGAUGAGAGGGCACCCAUCAUCUUAGGGAGGCCAUUCUUGAACAUCUCUGGAGCUGUCAUCUAUGCCAGUGCUGCCAAGAUCAGUUUCUACAUCAAAGGGAAGAAGGAGACGUUUUCCUUCAAGAACAAGACUACACAAAUCCCAGAGCAAUCUAGACGUGAAUCAAGGAAGAGGACCAAUAGGAGGAACAGUAACAAGCAAGUGUGGACUGAGUCAGCUAAGAUGGUCACUGCAGUUCAUGGAGGUCAUGAUCAUCAAGUUAAGUCACCAUUUUUGACCAAGAAGGACGACCCAGGAAUGCCAAGCAUCUACUGCUCCAUAAAUGGAUACAACUUCUACAAGACGACUUGCGACACCGGAUCGGGCGUCAACAUAAUGGCCGCAGUCACCUAUCGACUCUUGUUCAGAACCAUGCCCUUAAAACCAACAUACAUUCAGCUCCAGAUGGCAGAUCAAACGUUUCGAGAAGUUAAAGGAACAGUAACUGAUGUCCCUGUCAAAAUAGACGAUCAGGUUAUAGACAUGAGAGAAGACGAAUACAAUCCACCCAUCAUCAUUGGAAGACCGUUCCUCAGCACCAUUAAAGCAAUCAUCUAUAUUGGAACCGGAGAAGUCCAUAUGCACUUCCCCUCAUAGAAGGUACGCCGCUAUUUUACUGACCCUAACUAUAUCGUUGAAGAAUCUAAGCAGGUCAGAAAACGACGCAACCGCAACCAGAGGAGGGAAAUCAUCAAGGACGGAUGGGCAGACAAUGAAGGAGAAGUUGUAAGGUCAGCAGACGUACAGUUUAAACAGAAUUAUCUAGAGGAGACCAUAGCACCGAGUCAGGUAUGGGGAGAGAAGAUAACUAUACAUGAAGAGGAGGCGCCGCCGGAAGUACCGGCUACGCCACCCAACGAACCUCAGGACAAUUGAGAAAACGGAGAGUCCCAUUUGGAGAACUUAAAAACACCGAACUCCUUGCCAAGAGGUAAACUUGGUAGUUAUCCUUUCCCUUUCAAUUAUUUCAAAAAGUUUACUUAGUUAAUCAUGUUCGUACUAUCCUAAAAAGAAAAUAAAAAUGUGAAACAGUAAGCCCCAUGUGAGUAUACAAGUGCCAUAAAACCCAUAAGUACAUUCAUUGUGGUGGCAUAAAAAUAAAAUAAAAAUUUCUUUUCUGCUUUAUAAAAUGAAAAUAUAAAAAUAGGGAGCAAUAAUUAUUAAGGAGUCUCAACAUGAUAAAGGCUAGAUAUUUAUGCUAACACUUAAUCAGUUCCACAAGCUUUGUUGUCUAUUUGAGCCCCACAGAAUCUAAGAAUCAAGAAGACUAGCAGACGGAGGACAUUCUAAUCGCUGUCAGAAUGCUGCUGACUUUUAAAUACACCUCUGCCACCUGCUAGCUACAUCAAGAGAAAUUACGUCAAAAUUCAGCUUGGGGGAGAGCACCCCCAUUUAUCCCGCUAAGUAUUUCUAUCUAUCUUUAUACUUACACUAUAUUAAAAUAUAGAUAUACAUAAUUAUGGAAAAAACCAAAUAAAGAUUUUGUGCUUAUAUAUAUAUAUAUAUAUAUAUAUAUAUAUAUAUAUAUAUAUAUAUAUAUAUAUAUAUAUAUAUAUAUAUAUAUAUAUAUCUUUUGCUUAGUGUGUUUAAUAAAUAAAUAAAGUGGCUAUGCUAAUCUGAAUCUUAAUAAUAAAACUCAAGCAUGGAUAUGAUGAAUAGUUGCUCUGCCUAAUCUUUAAAUUUGAAAUUCUUUCUCAAGUUUAGACAUAACCGUUAUAAUUUAAAACUUGCUCUAAAUUUGAACUUGUGGGAUGAAAACUUGAUCUGAAGUCUAAGUUGUUAACGGAUAUGAUAUGGGAAGGUUGAGCUGCUGUUUAUUUGUUCUUAGAGAUGCUAGAAUUCUGGAGAAUUUUAUCUUUGAAAAUCUUUAAAAUAUUACAUGAUGAGUUCCUGUAUGAUGAGAGUUUAAAUUCCUAUCACAGCCAUAUAUACAUGCUUGCUAGACUUUGAGCCGCAUAUUUACUAUUUACUGCUUAUGAGCAUUGAGUGUGGUCAAGCUGUGUAGACCCUUAGGAGCUUGUCAUGUGGUUAAAUCGAGAUUCACUUGCACGUUCACUCACAUAUGCUGCUUCUACUCCGGAAGUACCAUCCACAUAUAUCCAUUCAUUUCCAUUUCCAGAAUCACCUAAAAAUAUUUUACUUCUGAUCCAGGAGAGAAUAGCCAAAAACAUUUUUGUUUUUCCCCUGUGAAAUAAAUGCUCGAGUUAUCUUGUUACUACCACUUGCUAUAUUAUCUCAAGAGAUGAGUGCUCUAAAAAAAAGAAAAAAAGAAAAAAGUAUACGAGGAAGUAAAAAGGGGCAAGUGCCCGGAACCUCGAAAGAAAAGAAAAAGUGAGACGAGAGGUAAAAAUGGACAAGUGUCCGAUAGUAGAAUUAGGGGUACAAGAUACCCACCUGAGAGAAAAGAAAAAGAAGAGCAUCUCAUUCUCCUCAUAAAGUUUCAAAAAGCAAGGAAGGUAUGUAUUCCCUCAAAAGAGCAAAAGUAGAAUUAGACUUUCACCAUUGUUAUCACCAUCAUCACUGUUGACGGUCCUUAAGUAUCAAAUUUAAUUAUCAAAUAAACAAAGAAAAGGAUCCAAAUGAAAUCAACAUCUAGACUUAGGGUUUUAUCUGACAGAAUUCCAUGAGUUUUGGUGUUUGUCUAUUUCUGCAGGGGGUUAUCAGGAAAUACGGAAGAAAGGCCCACACGUCGGGAUUACAUAGAGAUAUUAACAAGCCGCGCUAUUAUUUACAUCUAGAAGACUCCAGAAGCCAUGAGACCGAAGCGGAGGCAAAACGUGGCCAGAGGCAGGGCGCCCGCCCUGUUCCCCUAGGCGCCUGCCCUCUCUUAGAGUCCAAUCAGGACUCUGUUUCUCGGGAGAUCUCCACCGACCUAAAGGAUCAAGGAUAACCGUCCAAUCUAUGUCGGUUUGAUCCAACGGCCCAUAUUCACUUGAAGGGACUAAAAAACCAGACCCCCUGGUCCCUGGAGGAGAGAGCCUCUCAACCCUAAUUCAUUAUUCCUCAAGGGAGAAGAAGCCUCUGAUCAAGAUUAGAGCCACCACAUCAGUUAGACAUCUAGAUUAGCAUAGCUACAUAGGAUUAGAACUAGAAGGAGUCAAUCUUCGAUUGGUUUCCGGAUCUAUCAAGAGGAUUCUUAGUAAUUCUCUAAUUGUGCUUCUAAUUAUUCUUAUAAUUAUCUUUGUUCUUCAAUAUUAUGAAUAUGAGUUUGUUCUACUUCAAUAUAUUGCUUAUGACUUUGCUCAACUUGCUUAUAUUCAAGAUUUUAUUGUUCUUAGUUUAUCAUAGUUAUGUACUUGGCUUAGUUAGAUUGGAUCUAUAUACAUGCUUAGGAUCGUAUAGCGUUUAUCCAUCGGAUCCAUGGGUAAAUGAUAGAUAUUAUGUAGGCGUGGUGCUUAUACCGUAUUUAUCUGCUAUUGUAUCCAAUAUGCCAGAUCGUGGGGUAGUUCAUGAUAGUGACAGCUUCAUUGAAAUUCGUGUAUUGGGCUGGCAGAGCAACAUUAUUACA